UUUUUUUUUUGUGAUUUUUUUGUGUAUAAAAAUUCAAACGCUGAAAUUUUAUUCAGAAGAAGAAAGAUAAUAUUAUUUAUAAACUACAUCUUUUAAAAGUCAUAAUAUGCGUGUAAAUUUUUUAUCACCCGAGGUAAACGACCUUACGAACAUAAAAAGUACUAUAUAUAAAGAUACAAACGUAUAUCAAAUCAUCAAAAUAUUUACAGACUACUACUAUAUUUUAAUAAUGCUACACAAAAUUAAUGUAAUGUUAAUAAUCAAAUCCGAACCUAACUUCAGUGAAAAAAAAACAGAAACUAACAUUAGUGAGUAAAAUAAAAAAAUAAUAUAGUUGAAUGGUUAGUUUUUAAAGGCGUAAUAAGUUUAGUGACAAAAAGAAUUAUCAUACUAAGUUGGUUGCUAAAAAAAAAUCCACCUAAUAUCACUGUGUAAAAGAGAAAAAAAAAUUUUAGUUGAGUGGCAAGUUUCUAAUAAUACAAUAAGUUGAGUGGUAAAAAAAUCUAUUUUCUUUAUUUUAAAUACAAGAUAACAUUUUACUAAAAUCAUAUUAUUAUCCCUUCAAAAAAAAUAAAAAAAUCACAUAUUAUUAUAUGUACAAGUUAUGUGUUUAUACCUUUUUUUUUAUUUUAAAUAUUUACAUUUUUUUAGUAAAAAAUAACAUAAUAAUUAUUUUCACAUUGGAAAUAGAACUCAAAAUGAUGCAAAUGGUAAAUAUAGAUUAUAUCUAAAAAUUAUAUAUAUAUAUAUAUAAUUUUUUAGCAUUUCUUAUAUAAAUUUUUAGAAUUUUAAUUAAGAUUUUCUUGAUUUUAACUUUUUUACUAGCUCAUUUUAUGUUAUUAUUAUUAUAUAUUAAAAUAUAAAAUACAUCAAAUUAUCAAAAUUAACAUAAUGCUAAUAAUUAAAUCUGAAACGUGAGUGAAUAAAGGACAUGAAAAAAACAAUAAUUGAAUGCUAGGUUUUUAAACACACAAUAAUUUAUUAUAUUAUAUAUAUCUAAAGUCGGGUUUGGCCCUCAUGUGUUGUAUUGUUGCAAGACACACAUACAUCUCCUCUGCUAACAAAACCACCCCCAAACCCAAUUCAUCCAAUUGAAUUAAGAAGAGAAGAUAAGAUGUUGCAAGGGGAGGCCAAGGCCAAGGCCAGAGCCGCGUUUAUGGAAUAUGCUCGUGCCAGGAUCAAGGAGUAUUGGGCUCGCAAGGUGAAACAAAAAUCUCAUUUAGUUAGGUUUUAUAGGUUUAUCAAUUCUAAUUGACUCGAUCUUGUAAUUUUACUAUCUGUAUUUGCGUGAUUUAAUUUAGAUGGAUUUAGUUUUGUUUGAAGCCCAUGUAUGAUACCAAUUUGUUCUUCUUCUUCUUCUUCUUAUGCCUUGGUAGUAUUUGUAAUCUGUGUGUGUGAGAAAUCGAUUUUUUUUUAAUGUUUGAUGUGUAUUAUAUGAAUUAUAUUGGUCACACGAAUUGUUGCUUUAUGGUUAGAUAUGUAUUGUAUGAAUGAUCUUGGUCACAUUUAUCUAAUUUGAUCGGACCUAUCAGGCUGCUCAGGAGGUUGCCGAUGCUGCUGAGCCAAAAGCUAAAAAACCCAAACUCAGUUCUGAAAUUAAACUCGGUCCUGAAAUUGUGUCUGUGCCAGCUGAUACUAAUUCAUCGUUGCCAACAAGUUCGUAUGUCAAGGACACGCCCAGUAGUGAGGAUCAAAUCAAGCCCCAACCCGAACCCCCUCUUCCUCAGACGCCCAGUAGUGAUGAUCAAAUUAAGCCCCAACCCGAACCCCCUCUUCCUCGGACCUCUAUUCUUGGUGUUAUCCGGGAAAAAGAUAAUUGGCUUUAUGAUAUUAAUAAGCGUAGAUGCAAAACAACUGGAGUUCCUGGCUAUAUAAAUAAAUUUUGUACUAUGGCCCUUGAAAAAUAUAACAAUGAAAAGGUAUAAAUCAGUUUUCUUGUAAUUUAUAUAUAAAACUAUUAAUUGGUUUUUCAUUUUUACUUUUCUUUAUUGUAUGUUUGCAGGGUACCAACUAUAGGUAUGCGUGCCUUCUAUUGGCUCAUGAGGGAGGUCAAAUUCGUGGUUCGAUUUACACCCUUAAGUUCAGAGCAUCUCAAUCCGAUUCUGAUUUUAAAUUCGAGGCUUUUACCGCAAGGGUCACCUCUGGCUAUAAAUUUUCUAAAGGUGAAUGGGGGUUUGUCAGAGAGGUUGAGCAAGUUUCUCUGGUGCCUGGUUCCUUGCAUUUUGCUUGGUGAAAUGUGUAAUAUGCAUGCUAUCUUUUAUGUUAAGGUAGCAACCUCGGAUUGAUUGAUAUGCUUCAACAAUCCAGAUAUUGGUUAAGAAACCUUCAAUAUGUACUUGACGAAUGAUGUUGUCUGAUAUCUGCCUAUAUAGUAGACUUUGCUGAAGAAAUCCUUAAAAGUAUGAUUGCCGUUGUAUUUGUUAAAUUAAACUGUGCUCCUUCCCGGUUUACUGUGCUUGCUAGCUAGAAAUUGUUAUGUCGUUGUCAUUAUCAAGACUGACUCAACUAUUUCAGUUUAUCAUCCAACCAGACUUUGAUAGAAAUGUAAAUUGUUCACACUUUGGUACUGUUAUAGUCAUACUGUUCCACACAUUCUUUCCAUAAUGCUCAAUUAGUACAUUUGCAUGAGGCCUCUAUAUCUUAGAUGGAGAGUGGAAAUCGGUCAAGUCCCUUGGUUUCUGCCAGACGCAGAAAUUCUCGUUAAAAAUCAUGCCCUUUAUCUGCUCGUUGAUUCUGUUUUGUGUGUUAAGAAGCACAAUCCUCCUGCCUUGGUUUUGUGGAGGUGAUUUAUAACCUUUUUGUUCUGCAUCACUCUAAUUUUAUUUGAAAUUGAUUUGCUGCGGUUGUAGUCAUUCCACUCAGCAUGAUCUGGGGGGUGAACUUGGAUGUUGUUCCCAGGGGAUGGGGGAGUAACUUAGAAUUGUUAAAGCUGGAGGCGUAUGGACUACGGAAUAGCUUCCAUCUGCCUCCAAUACGAAACAAUUAAAGAACACAUAACAAGUCUAGGAACUGUGUUGAGAAUACUUCAAAGUUAUUUGAAUAUUUUAUCAGCUGCUGCUUCUUAGAAAUAGCUAGAUAAUGCAGUUGCUGAAUUUAGGAGUUCUAAUUUUUUUAUUUAUCUAUAAACCAAAGUUUUGGUUUCUUGAAAGAAUAUGUAGUCAUCAUCUAUAAUUAUUUCACUACUGUUUUUUUAAGUUUUUCUGGACAGAGACAGCUGCUAAAAUCACAACUAGGAUAUAGCACAAAAACAUAGCUCGUAUGUUGAUUGAUAGGAAUCUGUUAUAUGGUCCAAUGCAGUGUGAUCCAUUAUGUUAGACUUUUCCACUAGACUAGAUGCACUUGAGAUAUCUUGUAUGCUAAUUUGCUGGAUAAACACACAAUAAAGUCAUCAAUAAUGACCCCCAUAAAUGGUACUACCAAAUAUUAUACUAUAUAUAUAUUGGGGCCGUUUGGGUUAGCUUAAAAGAAGUGACUUCUUGCUUAUAGUAAAGAAGUGGAGUAGAAGUGAGAAGUAAAUAAAUUAAUAAAGUGUUUGGAAAAGAAGCAGAAGCUGUGAGAGAGAAGCUAGCAUUUUCAGCUUCUUAAAAGUGCUUCUACUUCUUUACACAAACGGGUCAAAAGAAGCAGAAGCCAGAAGCAGCUUCUGCUUCCGUAAACCAAACAGGCCCAUUAUCUAAUAUAGACUAAAAAACGAAUUGUUGAGUUAAUUUCAUUAAUAAUUAAUAUGAAUAACGUUCAUAAUAAAAGGUCAUUAAGACUCACAUUAUUGUCAUAAAGAGAGAUUUACAAAAUUUGAAAAAGAAAUUACCAAAUUUUAACGUGACAAUAAGAGCCCAUGAUCGGUUACAAUUUUCACAUAUUAAUACAAAAUAAUCAAGCUUAAUUACAGGAAUCAAUUAUAGUGAAUGUGUUAAGCAAGUUGUGAAUGUGUUAAAACAAGAAAAGAAUAGGCUGACUAUGCAUGCUACGAAAAAUCAAAAAGCAAAGUGAAUAAUGAUAGAAACAAUCCACAAUGUACAUUAAAGUAAUAAACCUCUCGAUUUACAGAAGAAAUCCACUAGUUAACCAAUGAGAAUUGUCACGGAUAUGUAUGAAUUUACUAAAAUCUGAUAUUAGAACAACGGUAACAUAUUUGGAUUAUAACAAAAUUCGAUCAAUGUUAUAGCAGUAACAGUAAUACAAAAAGAAAAAAACACACACAGAGAAUAGAAUUUAACAUACAGAGAAAAUCAGAAUUAUCGAGGCCUUUAGCAGCGUUAGAGCACCUCCAAGGGAAAAUCUCCCUUACCUAUAAUGAGUCUAUGUGGACAAAAAUAGGGGUUCAAGCAAAAAUUAACCACUCCAACCCUUCUCUCCUCACCUGAUAAUUUUAGGUGAGAGAAAACAAAACCCCAUCUUUAGGGGAUGGAAAAGUAAGCCCCUUUUUCUUCCACCUCAUCUCCCUCUCUCAUUUUUCUUUCAUCUUUAAUUUUCCCUCCUUUUUUUAUCCCUCCCAUCAUAGUAAAAGUUCUAAUAAAUAUUUUUUUUUCAAAUAUAUGGAUGAUUAUAGGGGAUACCAUUGGAGUAAAACAACAUUUUCGUUACUUAUAUUUUUGAUAAUCAUUAAUUUAUUAUAUUUUAGGGGUUCGAAAUAUGUAAUACCAUUGGGCUUGCUCUUAGAAUACAGAUCUUUAAUAGCGUGUGAAGAUGUAAAAGCAGGAGAAAAUAAAGUUGAAAACUACCCCGUGAAGCUGGUAAAUGUAGAAAACAAACACUUGUGGAAUGUUAAAAGAGUAGAAAUCGUGCUUGUCGAAACUGGAAUCAAUUCGCGUCCAAUCGGUGACAUCCGAUUGAAAAAAUUGUUGAGUCAUACCUUUUAAAAAGGAUACUCCCUCUGCACAUAUCAUUAAAAAGUCUAUGAACUUUAAUUGUAAGUCUACUAAAAAGUUUAUGCCUUAUGGCAAAAAGAUAAAUAAAUUUUAUGCCUCGUCUCAUUUGUUAAAAAACAUUCCACUGUGAGGUGAAGGCUUUGUUUCCAGCCCUUAUUUUGUGGUCUUCUGUAAUUUACUAAUCUGAAAGGCUUUAAACUCUGAAAUUUACUUGUUCUCACUGCCAGCAUGCAUUUUUGAAAAUUUUAAGAUAUUACUACAAAGUCUGUUUUGGCACAUGUCUAUGCUUUUAGCAUAUUUACGGUAGCUUUCACAGGCCUUUAAUAAUAUUUUUUAUUAUGCUUUACUGUUGCCAUUAAAUCUCUUUGAUAUAUGAAUUAUAUUCCUGUUGGGCCAUAGCCCAUGUAAAGAUAAGACUUAAUAGAAAGCCCAUAACCGAUGUAAGCCCAUAGGCAUAACACGUGAGCAGCACGUAUGACAACUAGUAUAAAUAUGAUGUAACUACACCCGGAAAAGGGGUUGGAUAAUAGAGAUUAUAACUUCCCUCAUAAAUAUAUACACAUAUACUUACAUUUGGCGCUAGAAGGAGGGGAUCUCACCCUUCCAACCAGAAAUUUCGAAGCUCCACAAGCAUGGUGAUAAUCGGAGACAACGAGGAGUGCUACGACUCGCCGCCGCAACCAGCGACGAGAGAUGUGCCCCCGAUCCCCGAGAGGCCAUGUCGGAAAACAAGCUCCGCUACCAGGCGCUUGCAGUUUGAGAAUGAUGAGACUCAAGGCAGUGAGGAGGAAGGCCCGGCGGCUUCUGAUCCUACUGGCCGGAGGAAGCGCCGCAGAGGCACCAUGAGAACUUUGGUUCGAACGCCGCAGGGGAAACAUGUGCUCUCUAGCGACGCUAGACUCCACUUGGAAAGGAUGAAGGCCUUAAAAAAGGCGGAGUCCAUGGGUGGAAACGCCGGGAAAAAGAGCGAGGAGCAUAAGCUCGAAGCUCUCGACAGAGAGAGACGUAUUUUAGAGGCUGAACUCAGGCAGAAGCAAGAGAUAGCAAGGAUCAGAUCUGAGCUGGGGAAGUACCCUGCCUUUGGAACAUCCUCAGAGUACCAAACUGACGAUGAAGAUCGGUCGUACAAGCCUCCAUCUCGAGGUGGCGACUCCGCAGGCUCGUAUAGUUCCUUUCGCAAGAAAAGGAUGGACGAGUCUGACGAAGAGUACCAGGAGGUAAGCUCCAGAUAUGCCGAAGGGAACAAGCAUAGAGAUAAAGACAUCUCCAAGCUGCAAAGUGAUUUCGCUGUGUUUAAGGAUUUCAUGAGGACUCAGACCGGCGGGGUGGAACUCCCCUCAGAAAGUCCUCUCUCUGAAGAUAUCGAAAAUGCAAAAAUAGACAGGCACCUGAAGAUUCCAUCGAUUGAUCAGUUUGACGGAUCCACGGACCCGUCAGACUUCAUAAAUCUCUUUGAUGGCAGGAUGAGUUUCUGUGGACAUCCCGAUGUGGCAAGGUGCCGCUUCUUCUACACAUGCCUUAAGGGCACAGCACUUCAGUGGUUCAACAACUUGCCACCUCGCUCCAUUGAUUCCUGGGAGGUGCUAAAAACUAAGUUUCGCACCAGAUUCUCUAGCAACAAGAGAGGCGGAAAGAUCACUGCAUCUCUAAUGACAAUCCGCCAAAGAUCCUCCGAAUCUCUAAGGGACUUCUUAGGGCGUUUUAGAGCCGCAGUAGCAGACAUCCCCAAUCUCAUAGAUGAACUCGCGGUGAAUUACUUGGCUGCGGGAGUGGACAAAUCUCGCCAUGGACAACUAUUGGAGGAGUUUUUUGAAAAAAGCCCCCGCAGUUUGGAGGCCGCAUUAAAGAUACUUGAAAGGAGGUUGACACUUCAGGAGGCGGUAGGUAGCAUCCAAGACACUUCGCCACCUCACAAGAAGUGGGACAAGUCAUCUCAGUACAACAAAUGGGAUAACAGAAAGGCAGACUCUAAGGCCUUGCCACCUAUUGAGAAAAAGGACUUGCCAGAGAAAGGGCCUGCCACUAACACAUCUCAGCGUCCCCCAAGGCAGUGGCCUCCAAGGCCUCCAAGAGAGGAAAAAGAUUUCACAAAGCUUAACACGGAGAUCGCUUCGAUUCUGGCAAUCAUAAAGACAGAGCCAGAUUACAAGCCUCCAAGGCCAAUGAACCCAAACCGCCCUCCAAGCAACAAAUACUGCGAUUAUCACGAGGACACGGGCCACACAACUGAAAGGUGUUACCAGCUCAAAAAUAUGAUAGAGGACAGAAUUCAAAAAGGCCAGUACACGCACUUUGUGCAAAGGGAGAAAAGCCCAGAAGCGGUGCACACAAGGGAUAGAAUCAUUGACGUGAUAUCUGGUGGCCUAGCGGCAGGCGGGGCGUCGAACAACGCCAAGAAGGCAUACGCUAGAGAGGUGUAUAGAGUGGAUAACAAGCGCCCCAAAAGGAACCCAUCUCCAGUCAUUUCAUUCUCGGAUGAAGAUUAUCCAGAGGGUAUCCUUCACACUCAUCAGGAUGCACUGGUCAUCACAACUAAGAUUGGGGCCAAUACGGUCAAGAAGAUCUUAAUCGACAAUGGAAGUUCAGCCGACAUCUUAUACCACAGUGCUUUCACCAGGAUGGACAUGGGGGACAGAAAGCUAGAAGAUGUAAGGAGCUCACCCCUAUAUGGGUUCACGGGUAAUGAGGUAAAAGCUUUGGGCACAAUUGACCUUCCGGUCCUAUUUGGCUCGCCACCUCAGCAGACUUGGCAGAUGGUGAAGUUCCACGUGGUUAAUGCAAUAUCAGGGUACAAUGCCAUUAUAGGCCGCACCACCAUAUCAGCCCUUCGGGCCAUCACCUCAAUAACCCAUCUAAAAAUGAAAUUUCCAACAGAGUUCGGAGUUGGUGAAGUAACAGGCGACCAACAAAUGUCACGCCAGUGCUAUAUCACAAACGUAAUUCCUAAGAAAAGAUUGGCAACGGCUGCUGAUAUUGUGGCAAAUCAAGUUCAAACUAUCGAGUCUGAAGAGAACGUGGUCCUUGACCCUCAAUCAGUUCUGGAGGUCCCCAAGCCCCCACUACAUGAGCCUGCUGAGGCGACAGAGCAAAUACCUCUUGACCUGGCAAGGCCGGAGAGGACAGUUACCGUAGGGACUACUCUUUCCAAAGAAGUAAAAGAAACAAUAAUCAGCACCUUAAGGGAGUACUCGGAUGUUUUUGCAUGGUCUCCAAAAGACAUGCCGGGUAUACCCGACAAUGUUGGGCUCCACAGAUUGAACAUCAAACCUGAGAUAAGGCCUGUAAAACAAAAGAAACGCCUCUUUUCUACUGACAAACAGGAGGCCAUCAACAUCUUAUCACUUCUGACAAGCCCGGAAGGCUUCAAAGUACAACAAGCAAUCAAGUUCAUGUUUCCAACAACAAACAACGAAGCAGAGUAUGAGGCUCUCAUCGCCGGAUUAAAACUCGCCCAGCACCUCGAAGUAAAAGUCAUCGACAUAUUUUGUGAUUCACAGUUGGUGGUGAAACAAAUUUCUGGAGAUUUCAAAACAGCCAAUGACAGGAUGGCAGCUUACUUGACCUUAGCCUCACGGCUACUGGCUUCAUUCAAAGUGUGGACAAUCAACAAUAUAGAAAGAUCAGUUAACCACUGGGCUGACGCACUGGCAAGGCUCGCCACUUCAAACACCUCGACAGUUUCAGACCCAGUUUACAUCAAGGAGCUCAAAGCCCCUUCAACUAAGAUUGUGGAACUUUACUUCACUGAGAUGGUGUCAGACUGGCGAACUCCAAUUAUGGAUUACAUCAAGGACACAAGCAGUCCAACAGAUAGUAAGGAACAGAGAAGCAUCGCUUUGAAGGCCCGCCAGUACUGCUUGGUCGGGGAACAGCUAUACAAAAGGGCCUUAAGUGAGCCUCUACUCAAGUGUGUGGGGCCAGAGGAAGCUCGACUAGCCAUGAUUGAGAUACAUUCUGGAAUAUGUGGGGAUCACUCAGCAGGGAAAAGCAUGGCUCUGAAAAUCAUUCGCCAUGGAAUUUAUUGGCCAUCGAUUAGGAAAGACUGCGACACCUUCACAAAGACUUGCAAGCCUUGCCAGCUGUACAGUUCGGUAAGUCAUCGCCCUUCAGUCAACUUCAACCCAGUCACUUCACCAUGUCCUUUCUAUAUAUGGGGAAUCGACAUAGUAGGACCAUUACCAAAAACUACUGGUCAAAGGCAGUUCAUCAUUGUGGCUAUAGAUUAUUACACCAAAUGGGUCGAGGCCAGACCACUUGCUCGGAUCAGAGAGAAGGAAGUGAUAAACUUUUUCAUGGAGUCCAUUGUUUUUAGAUUCGGGGUUCCUCGCAUCAUUGUCACGGAUAACGGCUCCCAGUUUACAGGAAGGGAUUUUGAGGGGGCCAUUGACGAGCUAAAAAUCAAGCACCUCAAGGCAUCGGUGGCAUACCCUCAGGCCAAUGGACAGGUAGAGAUAACAAAUCGGGCUAUUCUCCAAGGACUUAAGAAAAGGCUAAUGGAGGUGGAAGGGAGCUGGGUCGACGAGUUGCCAAACGUGCUUUGGGCACACCGCACCACUCCAAGGUCAACUACCGGGGAGACUCCAUUCCGAAUGGCUUAUGGAACGGAGGCUGUUCUCCCAUUAGAAAUCAGUCUGAAUUCACCAAGAGUCGAGAAUUUUACUCCAGAAUCUUCUGAAGAAGGGCUUCGUCUCAAUACUGAUCUAACUGAGGAAGUGCGGGAGUCAGCAAGUCUUAGGGUGGCGCAGUACCAGCAAAAGGUGGCACAAUACUACAAUGCCAAAGUCAACCCCAGACACUUUCAGGUAAAUGACCUUGUUCUCAGAGAGGCCUCAGCAUCAAUGCCGGCAAAAGUCUCCAAGCUGUCAGCUCCUUGGGAAGGGCCCUAUAAAGUCUCCAAGGUGGUAAGGCCCGGCACAUAUCGCCUUUGCCACCACGACGGCUCGCCAGUUCCUAACACUUGGAACGCAAUCCACCUUAAGAAGUAUUAUCAGUAGCGAUUCUGCUCACCAAAUCGCCACUCAACCACUCUACUACAAAAACUUUGUCUUUUGACCAAUCAUGUUAUGUUCUAAGUUUAAAAUAUGAAUAUUUUGGUACUAUCUUUAUUCUGGAAGUAUCCCUUUUCAGUUCAAGUUCAUUUUAAGUAAUUAUCUUUCGUUAAAACGUUGCUAUGUGUCAUCUUUUAUUAGUUGAAACUACUUUCAUUUUAUAUAUAUAAAAUAUUGCUGACUUUUGCACUUGCUUAGUUUUUUAAAGGAAUGUUCGUCACGCAAUGCAAUAUCAUCAAUCGAAACGAUUUAUCAUUCGAUAUUUAUUCUCAUAUAACGAAUUAGAGAUCCUUCGUGUUUACCUUUUGACAGUACAGGUAACCAAAUCUCCAGUAAACGCCUCGACGGCAUGACAGCUCUAAAAGAGCAACAAGCCACAAAAAAAAAAAGAAAAAGAGGUAAAGAUCAUUCUGAAAAGCGCAGACCUGUUUCAACAAUACAUCUAAAAAUAAAGACUUCACAGAGACAAAAAAGGGGGCACUAAAAUGGUCAAAUCUCCAAUAAGCGCUCCAACGACGCGGCAUCUCCAAAGAAGCGGCACCCCACAGAGAAAAAACAAAGAAGUGUUCUAAUGAUACAUCCAGAGAACAACAAAGAAAAAUAGAGAUUCCGUAAAGUCUCCAAGCAAAUUGCAGACAAUAAAAAGUAGCACAAUCAAGCAAAUACGAGGCAAAACCAUAACAGAAGAAGGCACAGCAAAAUUUCCCGAAAGACAAGAUAGAUAUUCAAGCAUGAAGAUUGUCAUAACAGCAAAAGCACCAACUAGAAAAUGUUCGAGAGCUACCAGAAAACCAAAAGUAAUUCUUACAAGCAUACUCAGGGGCAUUCCCCUGGUUAAUCAAAGUCUUUAAGAUAUAAAAAGAGCUCAAGGCUCCUCAACUUGAUUGGACGAAGCCCCCACUGCAGCCGCCAGGCCUUCACAAUAGGUGGCAAAAGUAAGACUCUGCAUAUCAUAACCAGCAGCAACGGCGCGGUCCCAACACAACUGAUAACCUUCCUCCAAAGUCGUUAAAGCUUCGUCCUGACUACGUGACAGAUCGUCACGGACCUUAGCCAACUCUUCAUCCAUCUUUGCCUUCUCCUUUUUGACAACCUCCAGUGCGUCAACAUGUUCUUUCUCUUUGGCAACAUUGGCAGCAGUAAGGUCAGCCUCAAUUUUUUGAUAAGCAAGAAUCAAUGCAUUUAGGGAACUCUUAUCAACAGCAAGAGUAGCAUUCCUCUUCUUCAACUCACUAACUUCAGCAACCAGUCGUUCCUUAUCAGCAACACCCUGCCGCUUCGCCGCCUCAAGUUCACGACGAACAGCAGCUACCUCUUCAGCCUUGUCAACCUCUUUCCCAAGGUCCAACACUCGGUCAAAGCCCUCAACCAACUACAAGGAAAGGGAAGCCCAACACAAUUAACAAAAAGGGGGGGGGCAAGAGAGAAGAAGAUCCCCAGCAGUAGAAGCACAAGAGUUACGAAGUAUAGCUAACCUGAUCGAGGUGAACUCGAAGUUUAGCCAUUUCACUUUGAUAAGAGCGACCUGCCAGAGAGGAAGACCCGAUCACCGGCGGAGCAACAGAGUCCUUAGAUUUCUUAUGAUGGUGAUGGUGAGAUUGAAUUUCGGUAUCCUUCCGAUGCCUUUUCCGAUCACGAGUUUUCACAACCAAGUCAGUAGUUUCCGCAGCAAGCUCAGAAUCAACAGCCACAUCUUCAAUCUCCUUAGCACGAGAGGUCACUUCUCUCUCCCCAGUUUCCGGAGUUUUAGCCGCCAUGGAUGUAGCACCAAGCUGUGCCAGUUUAGCAAGCAACGCUCCACUCGGCAUUUUCGGCUUAGACUUCACCAGUGACCGCAAGGAUGUCCCAGCCACUACAAAAAAACAAACAAAAAACAAGAUCAGAAAAUCAGAGUAACAAGACAGACAGACCAAAAGUCAAAACAAAUUCUUACAACAAUGCUUAGUUAAAAACUUAAUGUCAGAUAAAGUAUCAGUGUUAUAAGGCUCGGUUUCCCCGUGAAAAUCGUUCAAAAAGUCCUCCGGCAGAGAUGGCAUCUGAUUCAACUCUUUCAAUCGCCACUUGGGUAUGACACUCCAUGGACGAACCAAACUAAGAUCAUCUCCCUCCAUGUAAGUCCAUUGGCUGUGCCAUAUGGUAUUGGACGAAGGGGCGUCCACAAUCCGAACUCUACCAGCCUUCCUAUCCAGAUAUAACAACCCAUUGGUAUUCUUAACCCGAUAAAUUGAAAACAAGAGUUCCAAAGAGGGCAACUCCCCCUUCUCAUGACAGCGGGCAAUGAAACCCACAAUCUGAAUAAUAGCAUUUGGAGACAAUUGCGCGAGACCACACCCUAACGCCUCAUAAACAACACCAAAGAACGGGUGCAUGGGGAGUCGGAAACCAUACUCGAAAAAGAGGAGAGGAAUCGCUUGCCAUCCUUCGCGAGGAGGGCACCACAUCUUGUCAGUACGACGGGGGAGAUGGUGGACAUACCCCAAAUCAAAGCAACAGUGCUGAGGGAGUCUUUUGAUAGCAGAGCUGCGAGCAGUCAUACUGGACCGUUGGUUAAAGGAGGGGCAAGCACGGAAAUAACCCGUAGCAUUCUCCACAACCACCUCGCCUCCACCAGAAAAACCCCCAUCAAGAUCACUCCCUCCAACCAAAACAGAGCUCAUCGAUCCACUGGCUCCCAACGGGUUAAACUCCCUUUCCAGAGAAGCCAAGCUAUGAGACGAUGAAUGACGGACCACGGUGGGAGGAAGAGGGGUUAGACUCUCGAAAGUGCGCGACAAACCCGGGGACCCACCAGCAAUGGCCUUCACAGAAGGAGUACGGCGACGAGGGAGUCUCGAGGAGGACAUACUUCAACCCAACAAAAGCGAUACAAGCGAAACAAAGAAGAAAAGAUCGACUCAAAAGAGAAAAGAGAAAUUACCUAGAACAAGGGAGCAAUGGAAAUCUUGAACAAGAGGUAAGAGAAGCCGUCUGAAGAGAAAUUUAAAAAGGCGAAAAUGAAGAGGCUAGCCCUAAGUCGCCAGUUUCCAAGAAUAUCAAACUACACGCACAGUCUUUUCAGUUUCCCAAGGUUCAAGAAAGAUGGGAAAAGAAAGUGACAUUUAAAAAUUGGGUAAAACCAAUUCCAUUUACUCAAGAAAAUUCAAAAACGGGAGAAAGGAAAAACAGACGAAAACAACAAAACUCUCGCAGCAUCUAAAGAUCCAGCGGACUGGGGGAGGGACAAAUGUUGGGCCAUAGCCCAUGUAAAGAUAAGACUUAAUAGAAAGCCCAUAACCGAUGUAAGCCCAUAGGCAUAACACGUGAGCAGCACGUAUGACAACUAGUAUAAAUAUGAUGUAACUACACCCGGAAAAGGGGUUGGAUAAUAGAGAUUAUAACUUCCCUCAUAAAUAUAUACACAUAUACUUACAAUUCCUAACUAUUUGGCAGGCCAUUUUCUGUCAAACACAACUCUUCUUAUACUAUUUUCUGUUGUGGAUUUUUGCUGCAGGCUUCUAAUAAUGAAAAAUGAGAAAAUACUGGAGAACAAAAUUGACAAAGAAGAGAUAGAAGACGAGUUGGACGAUGAAUUUUAUGAGACAGUUAAGUUUCUUCUCAUGAUAAUUGAUGCAAUUUUGACUGUUUUGAGAGAUUAUUUAAGCAUGAUGCAUUAACCUAUCCGUCGUUCUCUUACACGACGACCAGUAACGAGAAUCGGGUAUCAGUUUGUAAAUAAUUUGAUGAAGGAAGAUCCACAUAAUUUUCGUGAAUUACACAGAAUGUAUCCAAUUGUCUUUCUCAAGCUGUGUAAUAUUAUAAGAGAAGGAACUACUUUGCAAGAUACAAGCUUUUGUAUCUGUUGAAGAAAUGGUAGCUACUUUUCUACUGAUUGUGGGACACAAUGAUCGCUAUUGUAAUGUUAGGCAAAGGUUUAAUCGCUCACACUUUGCAACUAGUACAAAUUUUAACAAAGUUCUGAAGGCUUUGAACACUAUAGCAUCACAACUGAUGGUAAAGCCUAGAGGUGUUUCUCCUAAAAUUUCUGAGAGUACAAGAUUUUAUCCUUACUUUAAGGUAUUAUUUUUAUUGUAAUCCGUUAGUCUAACCAUGAUUUUAUUUGAUUUCGAAAUAUUAAUUUUUUUUGGUUAAAUAUUUUUUAGGACUGUGUUGGUGCUAUGGAUGGAACUCAUAUCCCAGUUAUGAUACGAGGUCGGGCAGUAAAUAGCUAUCGUAAUCGGCAUGGUUUUAAUUCUCAAAAUGUUUAAGCUGCUUGCAACUUUGAUUUGGAAUUCAUAUAUGUGCAUAGUGGGUGGGAAGGUUCUGCACAUGAUUCAAAAGUGUUAAACGAUGCAUUAUCAAGAGUAAGUAUAUUUUUAUUUUGAAACCAACUAAUAAUACCAAUAAUAUCUAAUUCAAUAUAGUAAUAUAUUUUUAUUUACUCAGACUAACACGAAAUAAUUUGUACAUGAGAUAUUUCUACAGUGAAGUCUGGUGACCUAUUCAAUCCAAUUAUAAUGACAUAGGUAGAACUUUUAGACGCAAAUUAUAUGUUUCAAUUUAUAAAAUAGGUAAAUAGUUGAAAUUGAUUUAAUAUGUUCACAAUUUACGGUCACCUUUAGUGAUACGAUCGAAUUCAAGCACAUGAACAUAUAAUAGUUUAACUAUAAGAGUCGGUCAAAGUUCAGAUACAACUAUUGUGAUCUCUCUUUGUCUCUUUCUCCCCUUUUUCUCAAUCUUCUUAUAACCGGUCUACACAUAUUUAUAUGUUGAUCAUUACUAUGAUCAUCAGCUGGUCGAACAAUCAUUUGCUACCCUAUAACUAUCUUAUCAUGAAAAUUUAUCAAUAUUUAAUAAGGUUAUCUAUAUUUAUAAAAUCAUAUGUGAUUAUUUUAUUUAAUAGUCAAUUGUCUAAAGCUCGACUGAUAUGAGUUGUAAUUCGGUUGAGUACCUGCACUCGAACUCUUUUCCAAACUAAUUUUAUAUUGUUUGGAUGAUAACUCAAUAUUGAGUGUCACUCGAGUAAAACUCGAUUUUUGUUUGUGUUUUAUAAUUUAUAAUAUAAUUAUGUUUUAUUAAACUUCUAAGUAUAAUUUUUUUUUGAAACCAACUAAUAACAUCAAUAAUAUCUAAUUCAGGAUAGUACAUAUAUUUUUAUCUACUCAGACUAACACGAUAUAAUUUGUAUAUGAAAGAUUUUACAAUCAGUGAAAUCUAGUGGGCUAUUCAAUCCAAUUAUAAUAACACAUAUUGAAUUUUUAGACGCAAAUUAUAUAUUUUAAUCUAUAAUACAUAUAAAUAGUUGAAAUUGAUUUAAUAUGUUCACAAGUUACGAUCGUCCGUAGUGAUAUGACCGAAUUCAAAUACAUGCACAUAUAAAAGUUUAACUAUACGAGUCGAUCGAAGUUCAGAUACACAUAAUAAUACACAUAAUAGUUGCUGUUUCCCUUUCUCUCCUCGUCUCUCUCAUCUUCUUAUAACCAGUCUACACAUAUUUAUAUGUUGAACAUCAUCAGUCAGUCGAACGAUCAUUUGCUACCCUAUUACCAUCUUAUCAUGAAAGUUUAUCAAUAUUAAACAAGCUGAUUUAUUUUUUUAUAAAAUUAUAUGUGAUUAUUUUAUGUAAUAGUGAGUUGUCUAAAACUCGACUGAUUUGAGUCGUAAUUCGGUUGAGUAGCUGCACUUGAACUCUUUUCCAAGCUAAUUUUAUAUUGUUUGGAUGAUAACUCAAUUUUAAGUGUCACUCGAAUAAAACUCGAUACAAGCUUGUGCCAACUUGAAUUAGACGUUAAGAAAUUUAAUAAAUGGAAAAAGAUUUCAAACUGAAAAGAUUGAAUAUAAUGACAUAAUUAUUCAAGACUCGUGAAAUUGGAUAUAGUAUUAUAAUAUAUAAUAUGAUUUAUCGUAUAAUAUACAUAUGUUAAUAAUUUAAUCUCAAAAAUUAAUUUAUAAAUAAAUCCAAUUUUUCCCAGUACUUAAAUAUUUACCCCGAGCACUCAUUAGUCGAUAUAAUCACUGAGUCAAAUCAUAAUUUGGUUUUUAAACAGUGGCUACCGAAUUUUAAUUAAGUUGUCACUUGAGUCCAUUAUAUGUAAACAUUUUUUAUUUUUUAAUUAGAUGAGAAUUGCAAGAUCUUGAUUUAAAUUUAUAAUUAAAAUUAUCUGAUUAAAUGUUCCAAAAUCAGUUCAGAUAAAUAUUUUUUUGUAAAUUAACUAACUAUUAGCAUUUAAUAUUUUUUGUAUGUAUAUAUUAGUUAAAAAACUUUUGUAAAGGAGGGGUCAUAAAUAAGUGGAAAGUGUAAUUACCAUAAAUAUUAAUGUACAAAUAACUUAAUAAAUGAUGUUUAAUAUGUUGAAUAUAAUAAAUGAACCAUAUUGGCAUUCUUGUAAUUAUAGGUUAAGUAGGGGUAUAAUUGACAUUUCACGCCUAAUUCUUUUGCUUUUUUUGCCCUUGGUUGCAAUUUAAUAUAUAGAAGUAGAUGAGCUUGAAGUUCCCCCGGGUAUAUAUUCCAUUAUUCCUUGCUCUAAUAUACUUGAGUGUUUAAUUUGUUGUAUAUCUCACGCAUAUUUAUUAUAAACUUUUGUUUUCAGGAAAAUAUUUUCUUGUAGAUUGUGAAUUUGCUAAUCAUCGUCAGUUUUUAGCUCCCCUUCGUGGUGUUUGAUAUCAUCUAAAAGAUUUUGAUGGUGAAGUUCGUCACCCAAGAAAUGCAAAUGAGCUUUUUAAUCUCCGACAUUCAUCAUUGAGAAAUGUGGUUGAGAGAAUUUUUGGUGUGGUCCAAUCAAGAUUGACGAUGUUUAAAGUUGCACCUCCAUUUUCAUUUCAAACACAAGCGGAGUUGGUAUCAGCUUGUGCUGGAUUACACAACUUUCUUCAAAAAGAAUGCCGUUCUGAUGAAUUUCCGGUUGAAAGUAAAGAUGACCAGCUUUCUGACACGGAUGAUGAUAUUAAUGAAUUAAAUUUUCUAAGUCAACAACAACAAAGGGAAGAAGCAAAUAAUUGGAGAGCUGGCAUUGCAAAUUUAAUGUGGAAUAAUCGACCUAGUACCACUACAAAUGAGGAGGAAGGGAAUAACGAGGAGGAGGGUGAUGAAGAAGAAGAAGACGUGCACUGAUGAGUGGCUUAGAUAUUUAUUUGUUAUUGAAUAUUAUUUUAUAUAUUGGAGCAUUUUAUAAUAUAAAUGACGUUUUUUUGAAGACAAGAGUGUCUUAUUUUGCAAUAAAAUUAAUUAUAUUUUAUAUUAUUAUUUAUCAGAAUGUCAUGUGUAUUCAAUUUAAAUAUUUUAUAAGAUUAUUUCGAAUUCCGAAAUCAGUAGGUAUUCAAUUGGGAUUUUAAGAAAAGAAUGCAAUAAAAUCCGGAAAAUCUCAUAAAAUCCCAUAGAAUCCACACAACAUAAUCCAACGGAAUCCACAUAGAAUGAAAUAAAAUCCAUAUGGAUUUCAAAUGAAAUGAAAAAGAAUCCAUGGAUUUUAAAAAUCCCAUAGAAUCCAUGUAUUAUUAUGAAUCCAUUAAAAUCUCAAUUCAAUACACCCCUCUUAAUAUAUUGAAGUAGAUAGAUAGUAGAUUUAUUUAAUUGAUAUAACAUCUUAUCUUAUAUAUUAUAAACUUAAUUAUUUAUGUAAUUAAUUUUAGGAAAAUAAUAUGUAAUUUUUGUAAUAUGAUGUAUAUUUUAGAUUGUGAUUUUCAUUUGUACUUGACAUCUUAUAAUAUACAAAUAAUUUAUUAACAAUACUAGUUUAUUAACUGUAUCCUGCACGAGUGUUUAAUAAUAUUAAUUAUUUUAUCAUGUAUAUUUUAAUAUUUAACUAAUUUUAUUGCGAAGAUAAAAUUAUUUGGUGGAUAAUAUAUGUUUUUAAUAACAACUAAUUAAUUUUAGAAAAAUAAUAUGUAAUUUUUGUAAUAUACUAUAUAUUUUAGAUUGUUAUUUUCAUUUGUACUUGAUAUCUUAUAAUAUACAAAUAAGUUAUUAACAAUACUAGUUUAUUAACUGUAUCAUGCACGAGUGUUUACUAAUAUUAAUUAUUUUAUCAUGUAUAUUUUAAUAUUUAACUAACUUUAUUGCGAAGAUAAAAUUAUUUGGUGGAUAAUAUAUGUUUUUUCUAACAAUAAAUUUUUUAAUAAUAAAUAAAUAUGUAUGAGUUAAUAUAUUUUCAUUAGUUGUGUUAAAUAAAUUGUUAAUUUAACUUACUGAGUAAGUCUUAAUAUUUAUACUCAUUAAUAAGUGGACCGUAAACAUGUAUUCAAUUAUUGAAAAGAAAUAUUUAUUAAAAUAUUUAUAAAUUAAAGAGUUUAAUUUGCUCAAAUAUCAUCUCGCCGAUCUCUUUUUAUUAUAAUAGCUAUUUUAGUCGAUCUCAAUAUUAGAAAUUUGGUCAAUCAUCAAUUAGACAUACGAGUCUUCUUAAUUUAUAAAUUCAAAUUCUCAAAUAAUAAAAAGCUUUAUAUUCUUUUCAUUUGUAUCUUCUAAAGUUAGUAAUUUAAACUAUAAUUAUAAAAUUUAAAUAUAUUAUAUAUGUAAUUUUAUUUUCCAUAUAAAUCAACCAUUACUAUAAACAAAACAAAACAAACCCCGUAUAUCCCGCUUCGAGCGGGGUCUAGGGAGGGUAAAAUAUAUGUUGACGAUGCUCAUAUUCACUUAGAGUAGGGAGGUUGUUUCCGUGAGAACCCCGGCUUAGUGUAAGACAGAGUUUUACGUGAAAUAUAGGUAGAUAGUAGCUUGACUCAUGAUUUCUAACACAUGAAUAGGGAUGGCAGUUUUACCCGACCCGAUGGAUACCCGACCCAUUCCGACCCGAUUGGGUCUACCCGAACCCGAUUUUUUUGGAUUUGGAUCCGGAUCUGGAUCUUAUUUUUGGACCCGAAAAAGUUUGGAUCUGGAUCUGGGUCUCAGGUAUUCCGAACCGAGACCCGACCCGAAACCCGAUUUAAACCCGAUUCGAACCCGAAACCCGAUUAAAACCCGAUACAAAAUAUUUUAUAUAUAUAUAUAUAUAGACACACACGUAGAUACAUCAUACACAUACACAUAUGUUAAAUGUAAAGUAUAUAUAUUGAAAUAUUAUGAAUUAUUAGGUAUGAAUAUUAACAUUUUAUUUAAUUUUAUAUUUGCAAUACAGAAUUUAUAUUUGUUUAAUCAAUAUUUUAUUUUUCUUAAUUAUUGUGUUUAAAAAAAUCUAAAUACAAUAAAAAUAAAAAAAAAUAUAAAUGAUAAGUUGAAUGAUUAUAUACAAUUGAGUUAACAUGUUUCACGUGUUUAUUUUACUAAAUGAAGCCUGUAAUUCCCUUUUUUAUAAUUCUAAAGUUAAAAAAAAAUCCAUAAUCACAUUUUUUAUAGAUAUAGAAUUUUUAAUUUUUAUUUAAUUUUAUUUUUUAAAUACCCGAAUUAGACCCGAACACGAACCGAAACCCGAAAAACCCGACGGAUCGGAUCUGGAUCUUCAUUUUUCAGAUCCGGACCCGAACCCGACCCGAACCGAAAUAUAAUGGAUCGGGUCUGGAUUUCAAGAAACCCGACCCGAUCCGACCCGUUGCCAUCCCUACACAUGAAACUCACCUUUAUCAGGAAUGCAUCUGUCCAUGAAUGAUUUGAGCCAUUGCAUCAAAGCAUAACGCCAAAACACCCAAAUCUUCUUCGCUGCUAAUUCAUUUAUCAAUAAAUGAUCUGAGCCUUUUCUUAAAAGUAUAUCACCGUAAGCCACGAGACCGAGUCUCAACUACUUUGAUACGCUGUCGCCAACCAUUCUUUAAUGUAAUAUCCCCAUGAGAUUUAGAACUAAGUUCAAACUUAAUUGAUCAGAUUACGUCCGACGAGGCCGAAUUCUCUUACUUGUCCUCAACUGAUAUGUCUUCAACUCAUCGAACCGGGGCUGAGUUAUAUUUACGUCGAAAAUGUCCAUAUCAACAUAAACGCCCCUCCCUUAUUUUCUUAGAGAUAGACUCAACACCUAAAGGGCGUCGAAAAGUAAAUAUUCGAUAUAUGAUCUAUCAUGUUGUUACCACAAAUCCAACGCAACAUACACAAUUCUACAAAGAUCGACGCUCCUGAGCCUUUUCUCAAUGGAUAAAAUUUAUCCUUCAACUUCAAAGGUACAUUUUUAUCACACAACAUGCUAGUAGCUGCCCUCCAACGAAGUCAUCCUGUUAAAAUAUGAUGAGUCACAUCCAUAAAUAAAAUAUAUAUUCACAGUAGAAUAUAUCACGUCCUCAGUAAUUAUAUUAAAAUAAUAUAUUUUAUUUAUAACAAUGUAAAUUGAUAUUAAUAUAUUAUAUUUAAAAUAUAAUCAAAUCAAAUAUAAUUAAUACAAUCAAAAUCAAAAUAAAAUAUGAUGUAAUUAUCAGAAGAUACGAGUUUUCUUGUAAUUUUCUUUAUAAAAAAUGUAAUUUGUACGACAUUCUUUUUCCCUUUAAUUUUUUCUCACGUGAUUUUAUUUUUGCGGGGUUUUAUCGAGACCCAAUUAAUGAGUUUUUUUUCCAAGGCAUUACCGUAUAAAUAUCCGAGAGUAAUUGAUUAUUUUUCAGUUAUAUGGUAUACUUUUGUGAAUGAAAAAAAAUUAUAUUUUCCAUACUUAGAUAUCAAUGAAAAUUUAUUUUCCUUUUUAAAUAAAAUAAAAUAAUAUCUUUACCUCAAGCUGUUGAAAGACUCCUGAAUCCUUUUUGUUUUCUUCCUCUUCUUCUCGGUGACAAUCCCUUGCCUAAAAGUUUGAUCUUUUAUCUUUCCGGGGUUUAGUAUUUUAUGAUCUGGGUCAGUUGUAAACUGGGGUGAUCUUGUUAUUUAUACUCCAACUACCUCAUAAGUAAGGUUUACACAUAAUCGGUUCAAGAUGAAGAUAAAGUUAGGAUUUUUACUUGUAACUUUGAUGAUGGAAUGGUUAGAGUGUUGUAUGGGUAGAUUUUUUGUGGAGAAAAACAGCUUAAAAGUGAUUUCACCAGACAAGUUGAAAGAUACAUAUGAAUGUGCAAUUGGUAAUUUUGGUAUUCCGUACACUUGUUGGUGCUGUUAUCUACCCUAAAUCCAGUCAGAAGGCUUGUAAGACCUUUGAUGAUGAUGCCUCUUUCAAAUCCAAUCCGGGUAGUCUGCCCAUCUUUCUCCUUGCCGAUCGAGGGGUAACUACUUAUUCACUUUUAGCUUUGCUAAAUUCUUACUAAUUCAAUUUGCCUUUGAUACUAAUUACUUUUUCCUCAUGUUUUUUAGUUUCUACAGCUCAAUUACCAGCAACUUAUUAAACCCCUCGACUUCAUUUAUGCUAUGUUAAACUUUAAGUUAUAGGAUAAGUGUCUUAUUAUCAACUCAUAAUUACAAAAUUGCAGAUUGUUACUUCACACUCAAGGCCUGGAAUGCACAGAAUGCGGGAGCAGCAGCUAUUCUUGUUGCAGAUGACAGGGUUGAGCCUUUGAUCACCAUGGAAGAUGCACGUGCAAAUUAUCUGCAGAACAUCACUGCUCCGUCAGCAUUAAUUAGCAAAUAUUUAGGGGAUAGCAUCAAGAAAGCUCUAUCCAAUGGUGACAUGGUUAACAUAAAUCUUGAUCGGAGGGAAGCUUUGCCGCAUCCUGACGAACGUGUCAAAUAUGAGUUCUGGACGAAUAGCAAUGAUGAGUGUGGCCCUAAGUGUGAAAGCCAGAUAGACUUUGUGAAGAGCUUCAAGGGAGUGGCUCAGAUACUUGAACGGAAUGGAUACACCCAGUUCACGCCACACUACAUCACUUGGCAUUGCCCGGAGGCUUUUACAUUGAGCAAACAGUGCAAGUCUCAGUGCAUCAAUCGUGGGAGGUACCGUGCGCCAGAUCCAGACCAGGACUUCAAUAAAGGUUAUGAUGGCAAGGAUGUGGUUGUUCAAAAUUUACGCCAGGCAUGUCUUUAUAAAGUGGCAAAUGAAAGCGGGAAACCAUGGUUUUGGUGGGACUAUGUGACAGACUUUGCUAUCCGCUGCCCAAUGAAAGACAAAAAGUACACAAAAGAAUGUGCAGAUCAAGUUAUUCAAUCCCUUGGUUAGUUCCUGAUUUAUCUAAUAAUAUUUACUCUUGUUUCUAUAUCUGUGGUAUUUGGUUGGUCGAAACGCAUGAUAUAACUUGUUCAUAAAGAGCAAGGUCCAUAUAUGACUUUAUACCCAUGUCAACCAAAAAUGACAUGGGUGUGGCCUUUAUAUCAUUUUGUUCAUAAAGAGCAAGGUCCAUAUAUGACUUUUUCUAUGUUACCCUUUGAUUUUAUAACACAGAUAUGAUAUAUAUAAUCACGUUUAUAAGCUUAAUUGGUAGAAGACACUAGUCAUACAUACUUUUUAAGAUGUAAAAUGGAUUAAGAACAUAUAAAUGUUCCCUUAUGUUAAGCUUACAUGUCGAGUCCCAGCACCCGUGUCUGAUUUCGGAUUUGCAUCCAAGAAUCCUACUUUUUAAAAAACCAAAGAUCCUACACUUGGAUCUGCAUUCUGCACCCGUGGCGAACAGCCAUACUGGAGUCCUGGUAACUGGGGUUAUAGGAGGGUGAUGAUAUAUACAUAUGUGUAUGCAUAUAUGCAAGGAGGGUGUAAAAAAGGAGGAGACAGGAGUAUGAGGUCACAAGAGGAGAAGAUAGCCAGAAUUGAUGAAAGGUGUGGUGAUAGUUGUGAUUGCAGGUUGAUACAUACAUAUAUGACUGUAUGUAUAUUUUCAGGAGAUGGUAUGGGAUUCAUGUGCAUCAUAUGUAGUAGUAGUACCAUGCUCUCCAUUAAUAAUCACGUUCCAUUUAUGUGAGGGUUUGAUCUAUAUGCAUUUGAAUUUAAAUUUUGUGUUCAAUUUAUUUCACAGAAAGAACCUUUUCUUUUGGGCGUGGAUUUAGUGGACUGCACGAGACAUGUUUAUUUUGUACCCUGAUUUCUUCGCCCUUCUAAUAGAAAUAUAAGUAUGAACAACUAAACAAUGAAACUGAUACUUUUAGGUAAGAAACUUUUUAGAGUUUGAAGCUAAAUGAAAUUGUAGUUUAUUUCACAAAAAUGUGUGCCGAAACUAACAUGUUUUUGUUGGUUUAUUUACUUAUUUAUAUCCUUUAAUUUAGAUAGAUAUCUCUGCAAUUUAACAUAAUCCAUUUGAUUUUACAAAGUUACGUUUAGUAUCUGGAUAACGAGACUGUUGAUAAUAAUAAUUAAUCUGUUUAGAAAUAUGUAGGUGUGGAUCUGAAGCAGAUAGACAAAUGUAUAGGUGAUCCUACUGCAGACGUAGACAACACUAUUCUGAAGACUGAACAAGAAGCACAGGUCCUUUUUUCUAGAGAAUAGAUUAUUCAACCCCUCACACAACAGUUUUUCAUAAAAGUCAUCAGCAAUAUUAACAGUAUUAUGCAAUUUUGAUUUUAGAUUGGCAAAGGCUCUCGUGGCGAUGUGACAAUUCUGCCAACUCUGGUGAUAAACAACAGGCAGUAUAGAGGUAUUGAGUUGAAGUGUAUAUCUUUCUUUAAAAAAUAAAGUUUGUGAAACUAAUCGUCUAUUGUUUCAGGUAAGCUGAAUACAGGAGCCGUCCUCAAAGCCAUAUGUUCAGGUUUCGAGGAGACUACAGAACCAGAUGUUUGUUUAAGUGAAGGACUGAAGGUGACCACUAAAAUUUUGACUAUUUAAACUUUAUUUUUAGUAUACGGUGUACACACACCAGUGUGUGCCCACACACCCAAACACAUUUCUGAACUUUGUUAAAUACUUAAAUUUAUCAUGUCUCCUCAGUAUUUUUUGCUGGUCAGAUCAGAAGCCGUCUUUACUGAAAUCAUAGGCACUCCUGCAACUGAUAUUACCAAUUUACAAACAACUGUAAAAAUUAUAUUUUAUAUGUAUAAGCAUGAUAGGGAUCUUAUAUGAAAUUUUUAAUUUGGUCAACAUCUGUUAUAAUUAAAAGUCUUAUUAAUAAAAAAAUUUGAUAUAUAUUCCAACUAGAAUUCCUAUUAAAUAAAAUGAUUCUAUUAAACACAAUCAGAAAUGCAGGAUUCUAAUUAAUUAAAAAGAAAUUUAACAGUAUAAAACUCCCUCCACCCAAGUUAAUUGGCUGAAUGUCCCUUUUAGGUUUUCCCAGAAUAUUGACAGAGUUUCCGUAUUUGUAUAAUUGAUUCCACUUAUCCCCCUUAUUAAUUAUUAUAACAUAGAAAUCAGAUUUGUAUACACCAUUUCCCUCAUAUAUUGUAAUUGCAAAUUUUAUUUUUGACUUCAAAUUAUACAAGUUAAAUGGUGUACGGGGUGCGCCACGCUGCAGAUCCCCAGAAUUUAGGGAAAUAUAUUAUGUUUGUACUCCGAGCCAGUGAUACAAGGAACGCCAAACGUGGCCACGUACGGCGACCCACUUCGUUCGUGCCCGAUUCCGGAACAAUCGCGACCGGAAACGCCUGGGUUCGCGACUUGAAACGCAGCCAGUGACGACUUAUAAAAGCAGGCGUGUUUUUGACUUCUAGUUCCACAAGAUGAUGACACCGAUAUUUGUCAAAGGAGAGGUUUAAUCAUUAAUGGUGUUCAAGCGACAAGCAGUAAAGAAGAAGAGAGGCAAAGAAGAAGAAGAGGUACAGAGAUGCACAACUUUUAAAUAUAUGAAGGAAACGCGUAGUUAAAUGAGUAUACUAUUAUGUAUCCAAGUUCCAAGCAUCUUUCCCCCCCCCCCCCCCUCUUAUUCACUCUUAAUUACUUGAUAUCUGUGCCUAAUUUACUCGUGAUGAUACAACUUUAAAAAAAACAAGAAGCAAGGGUGUAUCACCAAUUCAUCAUCCAACAAUAUUAUUUUAUUCAUGAAAAAGAAUUUAUCAUUAAAUAUUUAAAUCCAAUUUUCCCCAUUAAAAUGAUGUAAGAGUUAAUAUUCCUUUCAUAAAGUAGUAUAUUUGGUAAAUCGUAAAUAUUUUUAUAAAAAGUAGUAUAUUUGGUAACUUCCCUAAGUUAUAUACGUACUACUUGAUACUCCCUCUGUCCCAUUUAAUUCUAUACGUUUCUUUUUCACUGUUCGACACGCACUUCAAUGCUCCUAUAAAAUAUAGUUCAAUAACUUAUUUUUAAAAUUUUCUUUUUCUAAAUAAAAAUAGAACAUUCAUACUUUUAUUCAGAAAAGAAAAAUCUUAAAAAUAAGUUAUAGAACUAUACUUUACAGGAGCAUUAAAGUCCGUGCCGCGUCCCCGUCCCCCAAUGUAUAUAACUUAGGGGGACGGAGGGAGUAUUGAUUAAAAAAUAUUAUAAUUAUUUUCGUUUAAUCAAGUAUAAUAACUUAAUAUCUGAUUUUCUUACCGUCAAAUAAAUUAUUCAUAAUUUAUAAUCAAUUUUAUAUUAUAAUGAAUAUCAAUAUAAUGAUUGUUUGACAUUAUACGAUAAUUGACCAAUGUAAUUUAAAUAUAAAUCGUAGCUUUUACAAUUAACUUACAUACAUACUACUUGACAAUUGAUAUUGAUUAAAAAAUAAUUUACACUCAUCUAAUCAAUUAUAAUAAUUUAACAUCAGCUCGAUAUGAUUUUUUCAUAUGUUCACGACUCUAUAAGAUAAUUGACCAGUUCAUUCUAAAUAUAAAUCGUAGCUUUUAGAAAUAACUUAUAUACGUACUACUUAACAUUUGAUAUUUGAUUAAAAUAUAAUUAUAUUUCUAUUCACUUAAUCAAGUAUAAUAACUUAAAAUACCAGUGUGAUAUGAUUCUAUUUAUCGUUAAAUAAAUUAUUCACUAUUGGUAUAUAUUGCACCGUUUUUAUCAAAAAUCAUAUUUUAUAGUUGAUUUCAUAUGUUAUCGAAUAUCAAUAAUAUAAUUGUUUAGGAUCUUAUAAGAUAAUUGACCAGUGUAAUCUAAAUAUGAAUUGUGUUCGUAGUUACAAAUAAGCUAUAUACGUACCAUUUGAUAUUGACUAAAAAAGUAAUUAUAUUUGUAUUCGUUUAAUCAAGUAUAAUUAUUUUAUAUCAUCGUGAUAGAUAUUUUUUAUUGUAAAAUAAAUUAUUCCUUAAUGAUAUUGUAUCGAUCAAAGAUCAAAAUUUAAAAUUAUAUAAGACUUUAUAAGAUAAUUGACCAAUUUAAUCUAAAUAUGGAUGAGUACAUUGCCUUUACGAAUACAGAUAUGAUCAUUUUUUGAAGCAAAAUAUGAUCUUUUUUUAAUAGCUAAAUAAAUUCUUUUAUAAUUAUAUAAUAAGAUAUAAUCUUCUUUUAAUAAUUAUAUAUUCUCCUUUUUUAUUUUUUGAGCAAUUAUAAUAUCUUACGAUCAAUACAAUAUUAGUAGUUGAAAAGACACCCUAAUUUACACCUAAUAAGUCUAUAUAUACUACCCUGCUAACACAAUACUCACGUAUCACCUGUACCCAUUAAAUUCUUCUAUAGCGUUUGGUAAAGAAGAAGCCAAGGAGAGAGAGAAAACACAAGCAACACAACAGCAAAAUCAAAACCACACAUCAAAUGAAAAUAUUAUUGUAGAAGAUGAAGCUAGACCCCGAAAGGAAGAGGCAAAUCACAGUUCACAAACACCAAAUAAUAAAUAGCCAUUGUUGGAUGAAGUAAUUAUGAUUGAGGCACCUAAAGGUAAAAAUGCCGGGGGAACAAAAAAAUGGAGGUGCAAACAUUGCAACAAGUCAUUCAGCAGCUCGUAUACAAGAAUCCAUCAUCACAGCCUAUAAGCAGCUCAUCUGCUGAGAGAAUAUGGAGCACUUACUCCUAUAUUCACAAUGUUAAAAGAAACAAACUUAAUUUUGUGCGAGCUAAUAAACUGGUGUAUGUUCAUAGUAAUAUUAGAUUGAUCUCGCGCUUCACAAAGAGUUAUAAUGACGGACCAUAUAGGAAGUGGGAUAUCGAUCCUGAGACAUCUGAUUUAGAAGAUUCAGCUGCUAAAUUAGAGGAAUUGAGGUCCAUGGAAGGACUUGAAAAUGAAAACACCAUACCAACGUCUAUAAGGCAGAGAUUUCCGGACUCGUAAUGACCUGGUAAAUUAGCAAACUGUGUCACUGUACGGCAUGUCCUGAUGGGUUUUUUAUUAUGCUUAUGUAUGCUUUUAAGUUUAAAGUUUAAACUAUGAACUUCUGAAGUCUUAAGGAUUAUUUAUUAAUAUAUUUAUAAGUCUGGAAUGUGGAUGUUUAGUUAGUACUUUACUUUUGAUAAUCUUCUGUAGUUCAGUAGCUUCCGGAACAUAAAAUUUGAUAUAAAAUAUAUGAUAGGUCGUACCCACACGUUCCUUCGUAAUCGUACCUACACGUUCCCUCGCACCCUUACGUUCCCUUGCACUGGAAACAUUCAUGCCAACGUUUUACGUAUCCGUUUCCGUACCAUGUUUCGCACCCCAUCCUAUGUAACAUUGCUCCGAGCGUUGUACCCGAAUCCUCAUAUUUUAUGAAAUUUGCCGAAUUUACGUAUGCUUGUACACUCUGCGCCCAUACCAAGGCUUCCUAGUUUAGAAUGUUGUUUUUGGUUCCUAGUUCUACGUAAGGGGUGAGCAAGAAAACGAAUUAAAACCGAAACCGCUAAAAAUCAACAAAAACCGAACCGUAAAAAACCGAACUGAAAAUUUAAAAACCGAACCGAUUAUAAUGGUUGCGGUUUCAGUUUUAGGUUAAAACUGAACCGCAAAAAACCGAACCCAGCCGAUUAUAUAUAUAUAUAUAUAUAUAUAUAUAUAUAUAUAUAUAUAUAUANUGCCUUAUACUCCCAUUUGCAUUACUUAUUAAAUAUAUAUAUAUAGAGUCGUGCUCCAGUGAGAACCAAUCUUAAGGUGAGAUAUGAGAUCUAAUCUCAACCACUCAUUUAAAUACAUUAUAUUCAUCUCUCACCAUUCAUUUAAUAUUUUAAUAUUUCACCAUCUUCUAAUUCAACUACCUAUCACCUUCAACCACCGCUGACCACCACCACCAGCUCCGGCGACCACUAGAAAAUCACCGCCGGCAAACAUAAAAUCACCAACGAAAAACAUAAAAUCACCACCGGAAAACUAAAAAUCACCGCCAAAAAACCAAAAAUCAACGCCAGAAAAUUAAAAUCACCACAUCACCACCAUCUACAAAACACCACCUCCACCCCAAAAUCCGAAAAAUCACCAAAUACAAAAUAAAAUCACCAUCGCAAAAUGAAAAACACCAUUGAACAACGAAAAUCACCGCACCCAACCACAUACAAUUGCAUCGUCGCUAACAUCUGUAGAGAAGGAAUAUGGCAGCGAUGUGAAAGAGAAGGGCGAGGGAUUGACCCCGGUGGUGCAGCAGCGGGACGCCGCCGCGUAGAGGAAAAAAAAUCCAUGGAGGCGGCGGUGUUCAGACCUGUGAAGGCGGUGGGGCUGACCUGGGGGGUUACGGUGUCGUCGGCGGUGACAACCGCAUUGCGACACCGGCAACAGCACCAAAGAAAGAGGGAGGAGGAAGAAAAGAUUGCAGCGGUUAGAGGUGGAGAGAGAGAUGAGCAGGUGGUGAGCCGCCGCGGUGCUGCGACGGAGUCACGAUGUGGGGAGAGAGAGAGCAUAUCUGGGCGGCUGUGCGUGAUGGUGGUGUUGGGUGGGUGGUGGGAGGUGAAUGGAAAAUAAUUUGCAGAUCGGAGUGGUGGUGGCAGCGGCCGGAGAGAGAGAUGAGCAGAUGACCGGCGGGGGCGACUGGGUGGUGGUCGGUGUGGCUGUGCGUCAUGGUGGCGGGUGGUGGUGUUGGUAGGUGGUGGGUGGGUGAGUGGUGAAUGAAAGAGAUGAAUAAUAAAACAAGGGAAAUGUGUGGUUGUGAUUUAAUUUAGGGAUAAAAAUGUGGGGCUGAGAUUAGAUCUCAUAUCUCACAUUAGUUGUGGUUCUCAUUUGAGCACUUGCCUAUAUAUAUAUAUAUAUUUAAUUUAAGAAAAAUAGUAAUACAUAUGAAUACAUUAAUAUCAACUUCAUGUACAAACUGAAUUUAUCUAAGAUCCCCCGAUAUUCGGUUGUUGAAACUUUGAGAUUUCCUCGAGCUAAAAAAUUUGUGCAAUGAUGCAUACAAUUAAUUAAGAAAUCUUAAAAACUUAGAAUAUUAUUAGAAGCAGCAUAUCAAUAUUUCUGAAAGUAAAUGAAAAAUAUAUGUUUGAAAUACUAGAAAGUAUACACAAGUAAUGAAGUGGAACAUAUUUAGAAUUUGUAAGGAAUUGAUAAUUAUGGACUGAAACAGAAUGCAUGAUCACUUUUAUGUCAGGAGGGCUAUCCAUUUUUUUAAUAGAGGUUCUUCAUGAGCCUGUUUGAAAGAUUUAGUUCCGUAAACAUAAACGGGAAACUAAUUAUUUUAAUAACAUUUAUUUAUUCAGUUUGGAAGUAUGUUUCUUUUUUUUUUGUUUCUUGCGUUUUUAAAACCGAAACCGAACCGACGGGAACCGAUCUGAGGUUUUUGAAACCGAAACCAAUCCGGCGGUUCGGUUUUGGUUUUCAAUAUUAAAAACCGAAGGUUUGCGGUUUCGGUUGCGGUUUUAUGCUAAAACCGCACCGAGCCGCAUUUUGCUCACCCCUAGUUCUAUGUUACAAAAAUACAAGAAUCAAAAUUAUAAAUACAGAAUGAUUACUUAAAUGCUUAUACAUAUACAAGAUGUACUUUUGGUAUAUGUGUAACAAUGUGUAUCAAGCUGAUAGACUACUUCUGCUAAUUAUAGUCAAAACAGAAAGUUGCGAGUCCAAACCAAAUUUAUAUAAUCGACUUUUCGAGUUAAAGCUAUCAAAACUAGACACGACACACAAAGCCGACAUGAUUUUGAAGGGUUAGGGUUGCUUUCGAUUGGUCGGGUCGAAAAGGGAAAUGUCGAUUACCCUGCAAAAAAAAAAAUCAGGUUACAGGUCAGCUCGUAUAACCCGAAAAUAACUUGGAUAAUCCCUUUAAUCACUAUUAAUAACAUGUAUAAUAUACUUAUAUAAUGAAUGAUUUUAUCAUUAAUAAUAUAAUUAUUUAAUAUAUUUUUUAAUUAUUUAUUUAUAUUUUGUAUACAGUGUUUGUAUUUUGUUAUAUGAACAACAUAUUUCACAAUGAUAUUUUAUGCUUCAUGCUACAUACUAUAGUCUAUAAAAGAUUUUUUUCGCAGGGGUGUACUUUCUUGUACAAGAAGAAGAAUACAAUUUCAGAUGAAAAUACUUUUCAUCAAAUAAAGCUUAUCAUCUAACUGAAAACAUGCAAAAUGUUCCGACAAUAGAACUUUAUUACCAUCUGAAAAGAAGAUUCAAUCUGACUUGAAACAAAUGCUUAAAAUCUCGUACAAGUCACCUGAAAAUAGUAACACGCGAAACAAGGAGAAUAUGAGUCAAUAUAUAAAUAUCAUAAAAGUAAUAAAGGAUGUGUAUUUUGUAAUAAAUACGAGUGUGUGUAUUUAAUAAAAAGAAAUAUAAAUAUAAUCAGUGGCGGAACCAGAAGGGGGCUAGGGGAGCCCCCCUGAACUUGAAAAGAGAGCGUAUAUUUUUUUUAGCCCCGCUGAAUUAUAUAAUGAAGUCCAACGAAGGAAGAUCUUUGGUUAGACACUAAAAUAAAAUAAUAUAUAUAGGACUACCAUAAAACAUAAACAAGGCUACAAAGUGGUACUUAAUUGCCUCUAACAAGCUAAAAAUAUACGCCAUCAAUUAUGGCCACCCAUAAAUGGUACAAAAAUAGAUAUAUAAUAUGGCAAUUACUAAUAGGAGAUAAUUUCGAAUUUCAAAUGAUUAAAAUUUAAUGAGUCAAUCCCUAUUUAAGGAUAUAACGCAUGACCCAUUCCAUUUUACAAAAUUUGAAUGUAAAUUAUGCCUAAAUUUAAAUAACAUCACCACCGUAUACCUUUGUUGAACCACCGCCGCCUGACCAUUAUCACUUAUUUCGUAAUAAACAACACCCUAAUGCCUAGAAACAAAACAUAGAACUAGACAUAGUAGUAUAACAAAAUAUCUUUAAUAUUCACAACAUAUGUUCGACAAAACAUGUAUAAUAUAAAUCAGACGUAACGACCUUCAUUAUCAACAAGGCAUCAGAAGCACACAAGUUGUUCGAUAAUAUGCAUAAUUGACCCAUUCUCAAGAAUAACCAUAACAAUGCAUACAUACAGUUAAUAUGCAAUAACAUAAAUGGGGAAAAUGAUACUACAGAGAUAAAUAAGUACAAGGGGAUAUGCAAUAUAUAUAGGGCAUUGCUCAAAGAAAUGUUAUGAUGGUGUUCUUUGUUGUUCUUUUUUUAAAGUGUUCUGUGUGGAGUGCAACCCAUAUAUAUAUAUAUAUAUAUAUAUAUAUAUAUAUAGAGAGAGAGAGAGAGAGAGAGAGAGAGAGAGAGUGUUAAGUUCAAUGAAGUAUACAAAAACAUUGGAGUAUUGGAAUCCAAGUUACAAUUUUUUAGUUUAAUCAAAAAUAAUAUCUUUCAUUAUCCAAAUUUUUAUGUAAUUUAUCAUUUAUAAGUUGUCUUAAACAAAAUUAUCAAUCAAUCAAUAAUAUUUUUCAACUUUUACAAGUAUUAAGAUUCAUGUUCUGCUUAUUAGUUAUAUUGCAGAACAUAAUGUUCUCUGAUUUAUAAAAGUAAUUGUUCUAUGUUUUGAUUACAAUGUUUAUAUUGUAGAACAAAAUCUACAUGUUGUCGAAUAUUUACAAAUAUUGUAGGACAAAAAAAAUAAAAUUCAGAUGACUAGAUUAUAUCUUUUUUUAAUUUUCUACUCCAAUACUUCAAUGUUUAUGUCUACUCCAUAAAACUUAACUCUCUCUCUCUAUAUAUAUAUAUAUAUAGGCAACUGAUCAAAUAGAAACCAAUGUUAUUCUAGAAACUAGAAACCAUUCCUUGAAUCACUGUUUAUAACGACAUACAUCACUAGUUUCUAUGCUGUUAAUCACUAUUUUAUACAGUAUAUUCAUCAGUUUUUAUUUUUAAUAAUUGAGAAAAUUUACUUAUGAUUGACAUUGGUGGUCGAUUAUUGAUGAUCAAUUAUAGUUGUAGAAGGUCUAUGAUGGUAUCAAAUGACGGGAUGAGGUGUGUGGUGAUGGUAGAUAGUCAUUAGUAGGGGCAAGUUAUGAUGACAAACGGUGAUAGGCAAAUCAUGGUUGUAAGUGAAGGCGGCAGUAGUGGAAGGGGUUGGUAAUGAUGCCGGGAGUUUCAUCAAUGUAGUAUGAUUGAAGAUGAUGAUAAUAUACGUUGUAUAUAUCUGUAUUUAUAUAUCUAUAUUUGUCAGAUUUUGUAUAUAUAAAUUAAUGAUUUCUGAUAUACAAAUCAGUGAUUGUUGUAAUUAAGAACAGUGAUGAAAAAUUGGUCAGGGACUAGUUUUUAGUUUCUAGGCUAAUUUAGUUUCUAGUGGAGUAAGCCCAUAUAUAUAUAUAUAUAUAUAUAUAUAUAUAUAAGAAAUAAUGUAGUAAUGCUCAUACAUCUAAACAUACCAAGAGAGAGCCCGAGAUCAAUGACGAUGAUGCCAUGACGACUGUCAUCUUCCGACACUCCAGAUCAUUGUUGGCGUCAGAAUCGGCACCAUACAACAAAUGUUAUAAAUUGGAGAGAAUGUAUAACGACGAUGAUGAUGACAAAGGCUAUAUCAAGAUCGCGAGGGAGAGGGAGAUCACAAUAAGAAUUUGGCUAAUAUGAGUUCUCUGGGAUACCCUUUAAUAUAAAGAAAAUUAAUUAUAUCGUUUCAAAAAUAUUAAUUAUACGAUUAAAUAUGCCGCCCAACUCUUAAAAUUAUGUAGUGAUCAGAAUAAACUAUGUCACUUACUGGAUAAAUGGGUUAGCUGGUCGGGUCGGGUUGACCUGUUUAAUUAGCAUGUCGGAUCACAGUCAGAAAAAAAAAACAAGAAUUAGCUCUCGGAAUACACUUUGUACAAUGUCGACAGAGAAACAAACCAUAUAUGUCCAAAUGUCUACACAUAGAUAAAUAAAUAAAACAUAUAUGUUCAAGAGCCUACAAUGAAUUUGUGUCGGUAUACAAAGACACGAUUAAAUCUGUAUAUACAUACACCCACACAUAAACUCUUUUCUAAUAUUUAAGAUACGACCGACGCGAACUCAACCCGUGACCUAAAAUCGACAGCCCUAGUGAAAGUAGUUAUUGGAGGGACUAUUAAUAAUAAAUAAAAAUUAUAAUAAUAAACACUUGAUAUUUGUUCUGUUUUUGAUUUAAACAAAAAAUAUAAUAUGUUAUAAAUUAGUCGGGGAAAGUAAUCUAAUAUUCAAUACUUGGCAAUCACAACAAUUAUAGAAUAUAUUUAUUUUACUUUUGUUUUUCACAUAAUAAAAGAAGUCUAAAAUUCAAUGUUUACCAACUAAAUAAAACUUAAUUCCUAUUCAUUCUUAUAAGAAAAACAUCCACCACAUAAUAUAUAUAUAUAUAUAUCUAUUAUAUUUCACGUAUUGGCAAAAUUAUAUAUGGUUAAUGAUACAUAUGCUCUAAUGAAUAUUAAAAAACCUAAUACUAUAACAAUCAAAUAUUGAAUUACUUAUUAUAAAAAAUUGUGCAUUACAUUCAAAAAAGAUAUUAGUACAUGUAUAAUUUUUGGUUAAAAGGUAUCUGUAAAAAACUCAAAUAAUUAGUAAUAAAUUAUAGACUAUAUGUGCAUCGAACUGGUUAUAAACUAGUUAAUUAGUAAUAAACUAUAAUAUGUCUUGCAUCCUUUAUUUUGACAAGUUAGUUUUAUUCUUUCAUAGUUACAUAGAGUAUUUAUAAUAGGGCAAGGGGAAUUGAGGAUCCAAACCCGUAAGCCUGUCAUUGAAAAGGAUAAACACCUUUACCAGUAAUCUCCCCCUUGAUUCUAAUUUGUUUCAUAAUUGAUUGUUGGAAUCUUGUGAUUUGACUAGAGAAGUCAAAAGUAUGUUGAGCUGGUCCGUCGUUUUUUUUCUCUUAGAAAAAUUAAAGAUGGCUGCAUCUGCUCUGUGAAAUUAUAUAAUGUCUGAUCCAGGAACACUCCCAAAGUGUUUCAAAGAGGGGUUCUUGACAUAGGUCUGCCUAGAUUAAUCUAAUUUGGUCAGUAUAGCUGUAUAUCUGUUAUUGUUUGGUCAUCAGAUGGUUUCUUUAGUCUUAGACAUUGAUACCCCUGAGCUCUUGUUUAGGUGUGAUGAGUUACCUGGAGUUUCUAUCUAAUUUGGUAAGCUAACUGUUUGCUGGAUUCCAGUGUAUAUUCUUAAGUAGUGACUGCAUGCAUAGAGAUUUCACUGCUUUAGGUGUUGUAACUGCAACAUAUAACUACAAGCUGCACAGUUUAUUAAGAAAAUAUGAAACCAGAAUUUUGAAGGUCAAAUAUGUAAAGAAAUAUGAUAUGGUUCAUUAGAUGAACUUUUAUAUUGUUUUCUUCGCUGGUCUAUAAGGAAUGACCCUAGUAACCAGCCGGUUCAGGUCUACUGUAUAUGUUCUGUGUUUGAAGUUGAUUGGUACUUUCAUUGAGCAGCCAUUUUAUGUUGAUCUGUCCUGCUUAUCUGUUUUCUGAUGUGUAAUCCUUUCAGAAAUAGAAACAAACGAGUGUCUAGAAAACAAUGGUGGAUGCUGGCAGGAUAAAGCGGCUAAUAUUAGUAUAUUACAGCAUGCAAGGUGAUUGAGAUUCUUCUGUAUACCUUUAAAAAGUUUUAUCUUUUAUAAUUUACAUAUGAUCUUGCUGUAGGAUACAUUUUGUGGACGGGUAUGUUAAUGCCCAAUCGUGCAGGGAGUAAAAUUUUCUGGUGAUGGUUAUACUCACUGUGAAGGUCAGAGUUGAUUAAUAAAAAAAAAUAUCUGCCUUAAUACUCUUUUGUAAAAAAUGUGAUGCUUGGCAGGCCUUUAAACUCUGCGCCUCAUAUUUACCCGUUAUUUUGACAGCUUCUGGAUCUUUACGCUGUGAGAUUAACAAUGGAGGUUGUUGGACGAAAACCCAGAAUGGCAGGACUUAUUCUGCUUGCAUUGUGAGUAAUCUUUAUGACUUCUCACUUCUCGCAACUGGUGCAUAUCCCAUUUCAUUUAUUUAUGUCAUUUUUUCGGUAUGAAAUUGACAAUUAGGUAAAUGAUUUGUACACUCGGUUGCAACUUGCAAGGGUUUUGGACCUUAAGUACGAUCUCAUAGGGCAGAUUAAGUGCAUAAGUGCAAAGCAUCCAAUGUUAUGAUAUCAUACUUAGAACCAGGAGCUGUUUAAAUAUCAAUUGACAGUAUGUACAGGAAAGAAGUGAUGAAAAAGGUGGCAGUGGGUUGAACUUGGAACAAAGAUAAAGAAUAGAAGUAUUAUAGCAAAAUAGAGAAGAAAAAGGGUAAGAAGAGAAGACGUUAAAAUACAAAGGUAUGAGACAAAGCGAAAGAGUUAAACAAGAGAUGAGGGACACACUCAACUACUUAAGAAGGUGGAUAAUUGGACAUAGAUUAAGUGACCCUGUCAUAUUGGAAAAGUUUGGAAAAGUGAACUACAAUCGAGAAAUAUAGCACUUCAGCUUUAUUUAUGAAGUCUCUAAUGUGGCUUCGCACAGUUAUGCCCUGCAUGUUAGAUUUUCAGGCCUUGCCUUAAACGACAGGAUCGUUUUUGUGAAAAUUACAAGUUUCAUCCCAAAUAUAGUUAGCCCUGCCUUGUAUUGCUGUCAUAAUGAUGACAGUCAAUACUAAUUUAUUUAUUACUGUCCAUAGUUUUUAUUCUACAAAAGAUAUUCAAUUAUAUCAUGGUUUUUUUCCUCUUCAAUCAGAUAUAUUAUAUGAUUUUUUUCAGGACGACCAUACCAAAGGUUGCAAGUGUCCACCAGGGUUCAAGGGUGACAGAGUUAAUAAUUGUGAAGGUGCAUUAUGGUUCUUUUCUUGUUAAUGUUGAGUCUUUAGGCAAUUAUCUCCGUUCCUUAGUUAAUAUCUAUUGACCAUAUUCUGGAAUUGCUUUUAAAAUUUAAGUCCUAUUAAGAUUUUAAAGAGCAUCCCCAGAAAGCUGUGUAAGCAUACAGCAGAUAGUUUAAACAUUUCUACUAAAUUGUUUGCAUCUUUAACCUAAAUCAACUCUGUGAGCCUGUGGUAUGGAUCUUGGGAGUCUGUUUCAUGCAAACUACUAACACUAGUGUAAGAUUGUCCGCUGACAAAUUGUUUUUUAUGAUUCCAUUUAAACUGUAUGUCAACUGCUCUUUUGAUAUUCAUCUGGGUCUUGGUAGUAUGUUGGCAAUGUACGAGUUUCUCUGGAUAACCUUGAUACAAAGUAUAAGCAUAUUUGCAAACUUGGUAUAUAUUUUUUAAGUAUAUGUUUUUUUACUUAAUUCAAAGUUCUCUAGUUUUUACAUUUGUACUUCAGACUCUAUAAUCUGUAUGAUGUAUAAUAUACCAUGAAAGUACAAUUAAAAGUUUUGUGUGCAUCUGCCGUAAGGUUUCCUCAUCUAACCUAAUUUUUAAGAAUCGUAAUGGAUCAAUUUGAAUGUUGAAGUCUUAGAAAUCUGAUUCUUCUCAUAUAUAUAUAUAUAUAUAUAUAUAUGAUUUAUGCCAGAUAUUGAUGAAUGCAAAGCAAAAACAGCAUGUCAAUGCCCGGAAUUGCAAAUGCAAGAAUACCUGGGGUAGUUAUGACUGCAGCUGCAGUGGAAAUUUAUUGUACAUGCGUGAACAUGAUACCUGAAUAAGUGAGUAUUGAACUUUAAUAUGUGAUUCUAGUUAAACUAAACUAUCACCAUUUGAUCUAUUAAUUUGUUUGCUGGACGAAAUUUAUGCAAUCGUGCCUGCCUCGUUUGUUUAUUUUUUUAUUAUAAAUUCUUUGAUGACUUGAACUCAAGUGUUUUAUAUGCAGUAGUGUUAUUCUGUAAUUGCGCCCUUCUUCUAACACCUAAGGGUUUUAGGAGUGUUAGUAACUUAACGAGUAGUCUCCUUUGCUUUAACUGAGUUGUUACAAGCGCAAGGUAAGAAUUUAUGCAUGGACUGCCAAAUUUCUAAUAGUCUAGAAUUUUGUCGGAUGGAGUUUUGACAGUUAUGCUUUCAUCAAUUACGUAUAGGAAAGAAAAGAAUAAAGAAACUAAAGAAAUGUAAAAGCUUCCAUUGAAUUUUAUUUUGCAGCUAAAAGCAUUGAGUUAUUGACCAGAGUUGUUUGGUAUAGAAUACACUUUACAGUAGUUUGUAUAUAUUGAUUCUAAGUUGUGAAGAAAUCACAUUAUUAUCUACUACUUCUAAGAUUAUUGAUAGGCCUAUUCAGGUAAGGAUGUUAGUGCUGAGGUCAGCUGGGGCUUUGUUUGGGUUAUCUUUCUUGGUUUGGCUGAGGGUGGAGUCGGAGGAUAUGCAGUGUACAAGUACAGGAUUCGGGUCAGCCCUGAAUUUUCUUACUGCUGUGCUGUUUUAGUGUUCCAUCUAUAUCAGCUUAUAUAUGGAAUUCGGGGGUUCAUGUCAGAAAUAGAGAAAUAGGAGUCUAUAUAGUUGCAUAUUAUAAGCAUCACUGCACAUAUCAUAAGCACUACAGUUUGCCUUUGGAAGAACAUAUUUGUAAUAUAGUCACUUACCCUUUAAUAUCUUGUAAAAUGUGCAGAGAUUCGUGCAAUUAUGGCACAGUAUAUGCCCUUGGAUAACCAGCCAGAAGAUCUCGUUCAUCAUUCACAUGGGAGCGUCUAAGCGUGGAACAUUUCGUGAGGAAUGAACUUGGACGUUAGUAUUAGAUUAUCCUAGACUCCUAUUGCAGUCUGGCUUUGUAUUUGUUUAUCAUGGUGUAGUAGCUCCUGUACCUGACACUGGAUCACCUAAAUGACUUGGUUUUGAUGUGUACAAAAAUCGUUGUAUGACUUGUAGUUAUGUACAUUAUUACAACUUGUUUGCUGCAGACUGGAAUUUCGUUUUGGCGUUGAUGCUCUCAUAAUUUUGGAUAAAUAAUUGUGCUUGCACUAUCACACUACUACACCUUCUUUUCGGCAAAGAAGCGAGGCAGAGACUGCUAGAGUCUCUAGAUUGAACACUUGAACAAGACCAAUUGAACACAAUGGCUAGCAUGAUUCAAUAUAUUUGGCGCAAGUCAAAUGUCACUUAAUUUCUCAUCUCCAGAUAACUCACAAAUCUUAACUUGGCUUUUUGUCUGUUUCUGAAAUCUCAGGGAAGAAUACAUUAUUAUUAUGUCAACCUUCAUUAAUACUUACUCCUUUAUUUUAAAAUAUAGGCCGUUUGACUUUUUUGCACGUACUUUUAAGUCUUUUGACCGCAUGUUUAAAAUCAUUAUUUUUGAAAUUUUCAUUUUCUGAAUAAUAAUAUCAAUCAUAUUCUUUUAUUCAAAAAAAAUCAAAAAUAAUGAUUUUAAACAUGCGGUUAAAGACUUAAAAGUACGUGCAAAAAAGUCUAAGCGAACAGAAGGAGUAUAUUCUGGUCCUCGUCUCCCUGAUAUGUUGUUGUCACUUGUUACGCUUCCUCUGUGCAAGUACAUCUGCAAAGAGAUUAUUCAAAGUUUUAAUACAGCUGUCGAGAAAAAGUGGAAGAGAGAAUUAGCAAAAAUAAAUGGAAGAGAGAGAGAUAUGAGCAGAUAGAAACAUAAAUCUACGGCAGGAGGUAGAACAAAAGGGGUAUUGAGGCAGCCUGUCCUGUCUCUCACAUUUAAUAUUCAUACUUAUAAUAAAAUUAAAUGUAAAUUAUAAGUUAAUAAACGUGUUUGGUUUAAUAUAAUUCUUAUCGAAUAUAUCAAACAAGUUCUUAAUUAAACCAGUCAAAAAUUUAUUUGAAAAUUGGUCCAAGUAGACAUUGUUUCAAAGAAAAUAUUUAAUUAUGUUUUAGUUAUAAUAAUAAAAAUUUAUUAAAAUAUGUCUGAAAGUUCUAUAUUUGUCGGUGUUUGGACCUACCAGACUUUUUGAUUUAUAACAUGUUUUAAGAAUCUUUUCACUACAAUUAAAACCUAUUUAAACAUUUUUUUUGAAACAAUGUCUAUUUGGACCAAUUUUUAAUUAGUUUUUUGCCUGGCUUAGUUAAGAACUUAUUUAACAUAUCCAAUAAAAAAUGUUAACUCAAACACAUUUAUUAAUUAUUUUAAAUUUUUAAUUUAAUCAAAAAAAAUUAUUUUAAUUUAGAAAUAUAUAUUAAAAUUCUAACAUAAUUUUAUUUUUAAUAAUAAAAUCAAUAUUAUAAUAUAUAUAUAUAUAUAUAUAUAUAUAUAUAUAAUAAAAUACAAACAUAAUAUAAGCUAGUCGAUUAUUGCCUGUAUACCAAUUCCCUAAUUAAUUAAUGAAUCGAUUGUUUUUAAUAUUUCGCUUUCAAUAGUGUAAACAUAUUUUAAUUAUAAUAAAAUAAAAUGACACGUGUCAAUUGGUCUGAAUGAACAAUGUUUUUGAUAUUAUACUUUAAAUUAUAAUUAGAUUAUAUUCCAUGUGAUUUCAUUAAUUUUUAUAUUAAAUUUUGUUUUACAUUUAAUUUUAUUAUUUGUAUGAAUUGGUGUAUUUAAAUUAAUUUAUUUAAUAUAAAUUUUUAAUAACUAGAUUCGUUUGCUUAAAAACAAAUAGGCUCAAAAGAUGUUUUUAAGCUAUAAUAUAUUUAAGAAAAAUAAUUCAUUCGACAAGUUGUUACAUGGAAUAUAUAUAGUCUGCUGGGUUUCAAAUGGGUCCUCAGGGCCAGCACAGCAGGAACCAGAGAUCCAGGAUUUUGUGUACGAUCUUGAUGUUGAAGAGGGGGCUGUGGUUAUGCAGGCCUAAGAAAAACAUGCCGGGAAUGGUAACCCAAGGGGUGAGAAGGUAUGAUUUAUCCACCUAAAAGGUUUGGGUUCCCAUUCCAUUCUAUAGCACCAAUUAACUAAUCCAAACGCUUGUUAUCAGAUUAAGGUUUCGGUUCCCGGGCUCACCCCCUAUAUUGAUAAGCUAGAGAUAGCUCAAGCACUGCUCAUAAAUGACGGCAGAAGUUAUCAUGAAGUUAUGGCGUCAAACUCAAGCUAAUUACGGAGAUACACAAGGUGCAUGAUUUUGUAAACCACAACAUGCUAGAUAUAGUAAAAUAGAGAUAUGUUAAAGUAUACACAGAUGACCUCAUGUUGUACAGUAAUGAUGAUGACCUAGAUUAAGUAGGGUUUCUUAUUUGCACUAAAAGAGCUUCUUUCUCUUACAUUGUUUCUCAGCUUCAUCAGUUAUAUAAAGAUACACAAAAUGCAUAUGAGUGUAAGUAGAUGUUCAGUCUGCAUUUACUCGUUAUAUUUUUAUCGUAUCUUGGAGUUAAAUGCAUUUAACUCGGUGCCGAGAGUUAGGUUGGCCACUAAAUUCCUACUCAUUUUGAUUGAUAAUUCUUUUCGAAUAUUUUCUUCUCCGGGAAAGAGAAAUGGAUGAAGAUUCAAAAUCACACAUGGAACGCCGUAUGAAUAGUUAUAUGCAAAGCAGAGAAGAUCAAGUAUUUCACAGAAGGACUCGAUUUGCACUGGACAUGGAUGGGAACAUGAUAUUUGAUGACGAUGGAUAUAUGCGUCACCAAAACGAAGAAAUUUUUCAUGCAAACUGCCGAGUAUUAUAAAUUUAUAAGGUUGAUGGGGAGGAGAUAACUCUGUGUAAUCAAGUUAAUUACACAGAGGAGUCAGAUCAUCUCACCGUUUUAUACUCCAAGGUACGAAAUUUAUUAUUGUUAGCCUGUGUAAGAAAUUCUGGAACCCAGUUUGAUUUCAAUAUGAAGCAAAAAAAGCACAACUUGUUCUUUGAUUUUUGCCGUUGAUGAGCAUGUUCUUGGCUCCAUUUUUCACUUUCAAAAGCUGAAAUUCUUAAAUAUAUUCUUUAGCUGGGGUAUUAAAAUUAUAAAUGAAAAAUAAUGCACCUAUACUUUUUAUGGCCCAGGUGAUUUGCAGUUGCAGACUCUGAGUUUUCAUUUUUAGUUCAAGUAUCAUAUAAUAUUACAAGAUAAUAUAAAAUCUCAUACACUAAUAUUUUUUAACCCCUGACCCAAUGCAGGUAGAGAUCUCAGAUUCACCCGUACAGGACAUCUAUAACUUUUUUUCUCAGGCUGGAAAGGUUAGUUGUUAUAGAGUUAAUUCGGUCCUUUUAAAUAAAUUUAUAUGCCGAUAUUAAAUUUUAUGAAUCUUUUUUCUACAUAAAAAAAAAUCUUCUUCACAUGUAUUGCCUUUACAGAUCAAAACUAUCAAGAUUAUGAAAGAUGAGAUUCAGAAGAAAUUAUCAGCGUAUGUUAUCGUUGUUGUUAGUGCUUUUAUGCAUAUUUAUUCAAUUUUAGACGGUUUAUUUAGGAGUUGAUAUAAUAAUUUAGUGUCACAUUCAAGCACAAAAUUUUCAUAAUUCUUCUGCUGACACCUAAACCUAUUAUUAAGAGAGUUUUGACGGUCGUUACAGUUAUUCCCCUUACUGAAUUUUAAUUUUGCUCUUCUUAAUGUUUGUUUUUUCUUCUAAUUUGUUAAUAUUUCAUUGAAUAUGAGUGUAAUCAUCAAAAAAUGAUCUAUACACUAUAAUAUGAGAUACCAAUAUAAGCAGAUGCAAGAUCGGAGCUAGAAUUCAAAUUCAUGAUGGAUCAAAAAUAAACUUCAUUUUAAAUAUGACCAUACCAAGAUUCUUCGAAAAUUACAUUAGGCAAUACUAGUCACUAAUUAUUAAUAAGCAAAUAAAUAUUUCAUUUAGUAAUUACUGUUUUUGUUUACAUGUUCCCUAAUAUUGUGUUGGGUCAAAUGUCUUAAAAACAUUUAACGGGAAUCAGACUUAAAUAAUAAAAUUACGGAACAAAGAUUAAUCAUGAAUUAAUUGAAUUGAUCAGAAAAUAAUCAGAUUGAUCGGGGAUUAAUCACCGAAUUUUAGAACAGAGGUUAGGGUGAUAAAAUGAAAUCGAAUAAAAUGCUUAAAAAUAAAACAAAAUAUUAUAAAUAAAAAGAAUUUUUUGAUAAAAAGCGAUGAAGAUAAAAUUACUAUUAUGAGAUUUGAGAAUAAAUUGACAAGAGGGAGAAAAUGAGCGUGACUUCUAGCGACCAAAUUUAUCUUGAGAUUAUUCCAAAGCGUGAAUGGAUUUUUGAUAGUGAGAUAUUCCAGAUGUGAUGCAUAAGAAAUGUUAUUGCUCUAACAUUUUUUUUAGUAGUGGGGAUUUUUUUUGAGUCUUAAACCUUUAAAUUGUUAGCACGCUAAGAUGUAAUUCACAUCAAGGAGACAAGAACCCAAGAUAGAUAAUUAUACCCAGAAAACAUCCAAAGCAAAAAACUCUAAUUUUAUGAGGUUCGUCAUUCUGAAUGUAAAAUAAAUAUUUAAAACAUGACAUAUCAAUAUUUCGAGUUAAUACACAAACAAUUAAAUAUCUACACAAUAAGAAAAACUAAAACUAAAAAAUUUUAACGGCAUAGCCGUCAUUGUUGACCAAUCAAGCAAUGAUAACUUUAUAAGGAAUGAAAAUGAGAUAAUAAAAAAAAAAUGAAAAUGAGUAGAGUUAGAUCGUAUCUUAUAUGCUAGUCAAUCUUAAAAAAAGACUUGUGCUUAUAUUGCUAUGUAAGGCUCGGUUAGAGUCUCGUGUUCAUAACGUGUUGUAAAUUUUUAAUUAUUUAUUAUAUAUAAAAAAUAAAAGAUAUAGAUAAAAGAGUAAGAAAGAGACUACAGAGAGUGAAUUGUUCUUUGAUAGUGAUUUUGAUAUCUCAUGCAACUCUUCUAUUUAUAGAGGUGAUUUUGAUAAACAUGCAAGAUUUAUUAAUCUAUAGCUAGUUUAGAAGUGCAUAACCUAAUACUUAAGUAAUUUCUGAAUAGGUACAUAGUUUAAUAUUGAAAUAUUCUUAAAAUACGUGCAUAGUUUAAUACUUAAGUAUCUCGAAAUGCGUACAUAACUUCUUUAAUAAUCUAUCACUUGUAUAUAUCCAAACAAUAUCAAUAUUUCGAGUUAAUACAUAAACAAAUAAAUAUCUAUACAUUAUGAAAAGCAAAAACUAAUCUAGCCGCAUGACAUCAAUAUUUAAACAAUCAAGCAAUAAUCACUUUACAAGUAAUGAUAAUGAGUGGAGUUAGAUGGUACCUUAUAUGCUUAGUAAAUCUCAAAGAAAGGCUCGUGCUUAUAUGCUAUGUAAAGCUCGGUUAGAGUCCCGUGUCGUAAGUCUUCAAUUAUUUAUUAUAUGUGAAAGAAUAAAAGAUACAAAUAAAAGAAAAAAGAGUAAUAAAGAGAAUAGAGAGAGAAUGAAUUGUUUUGUGAUAGUGAUUUUGAUAUCUCCGCUCUAUUGUUAAUAAACUAAGAAUUAGGAAAACAAAAUAGAUCAUAUAUCUAUGACAACUUAGAAUAAUAAAAUAUAAUAUACUAAAAUUUAAAUGCUAAUAAUUAUUAAUAUUAUAUUUUUUUGUGAAGGAUGAAUAUGAAACUAGUGUACGAAACCUCUACAAAACACCGACAUGCGACUUAAAUAAUAUUUUAUUUACUUAUUUAUAAUAUUUGAAUUUGAAUUAUAUAAUUAUUUAAAAAGUGAUUUAAGCGCACGAUUGAAGAUGCUCUAAGAAUUUAACUUUUAGUUGUCUGAGUCAUUAUUUUUAGAUAAUAUGCCGGCCCCAUAAUAUAUUAGCACAUGUUUUUUUUUUUGAUAAAUUAAUGAAAUGUUUUUGUAUCGGAUUUUUUUUUGUGUUUGACUUUUGCAUGGGUUAAUCAUGCAAAUCUUUUUUCAUCUUUGAUUAUGAACUGAUAAUUACUUUUACAGGGAGAUUGAGUUCGAGUGUUUCAAAUCACUUGCAGUAGCCAUGGCAAUUGCGGUGAAAAAUAAGUAUAUGAAUGUAUGUACAAAGGAAAGUAUUCAUGUUGGUAGCUUUCCUUUAGAAGAAAUUGAAGUCAGCGAAGGAGGUGAUAUGUCAAUUAAAGAUGUAUUCAAUCAAAAAAUAUAUAUUGGCUUUUCUCACAUUCCUAUGACCGUCAAUUGGUUGAAAAAGGUAAACUUUGAUUUUUUACGUCGGGUUAAAAAGUCAAACAUCAAUUAAAAUCGGACGGAGGAAGUACGAUUCAUUUCCGGUGUCGCAUAAAUGUAAACUAUUUUCUGUUUUAUGUGCAGAUAUUUGAGGUGUUCGGUGUUGUGCAAAAACUCAUGAUACCACGCCCCCACAAACUUUCGCACUUGGGAUAUGCAAUCCUGCAAGUGAGAUUAUUUUCUUUUACUCGACAUGAAUAGUAUUAGUAACUCUCUUUAGACUAGCCCCUCUGCCCAACUAAUAAGAUUUUUUUUUAUUUUUCUGGUAGUUCGAUAGUGCAGAAGGUGUGCGAGCUGCUCUCCGUUUGGACAAGCAACUGGAGUUUAUUUAUCAGAACGUAACGGUAACACAGUAACAGUAAAAUUGCUCUCCUUUUUUAAAGCAGUGUACAGAAUUGUUUUUCUAAGAAAUUAAGGUUGUAUCUUAUAGGUAGAGAUGCAAGUUACUGCACUUGAUGGAACAGAAUUGAGUCAUGACGGGGAAACAUAUACUACAUGUAAGGAUCCCGUGGAAGAUGAUGGUUCUUUGUAAAUGCAGACUCUUCGAAUAUAAGGAUCUCGUGGAAGAUGAUGGUUCUUUGUAAUGCAGACUCUUCGAAUAUAAGGAUCUCGUGGAAGAUGAUGGUUCUUUGUAAUGCAGACUCUUCGAAUAUAAUGGCAUUGGCUAUGAAAAAGUGUAACUGCAUCAUUUUUUAUGACAUUAGUAUAUAUGUUGCCGUGAAUAGCAACAGAUUAACUGAUUGCAUUUAGUUUUAGCCUUAUUAAGAGAUUAUGAGACUUUUUUCUAGAACUAUCGUCUUCCCCUGGUGUUUUUGUUUGACAAUCCCAGAAAGGGAGACAAUAUAUGCCAAUCAAAUUAAAAUUCAUGCAUCGGACUCAUUAGUCAAAAUACAAUUUACACAGUAAAUUGGCAAAGAAAUCGUACAAAUCUUCCAAAAAUAAAAAUAUCAGCGAUCAGCACCAGGCAUUUGUAGCUCUUGCCAACAGUUUUUGAAUUCUCAUGCACACAGCAAAGCAGAAGACCACCAAACUCAGUAAUUGUAGCCAAUUAGGAUUUACAUUUGUGCAGGUAAAGUCAGCCUCUCAGUUGGAUCAUAAAGACACACGUACAUCCCCUGCAAGAAUGGAGGAUUAACGACAAAUAAUUCACCGUGACUACAUUUUAAGCUUAAUGUUUUGUACUGUAUUGGAAAACCUGGGCAACAUCAUGCUAGUCUGGCAUUAGUCUAUAUGUAGAGCCAAGAAUGAGAGAUUACCCGGAUGGUCACUAAGAGCAGCCUUAUAUAGUUUCAUUAGCAUGCAUUACAUCAAGACCAAUGAACCAUGAUCCAACACUGACAUCAUCAUCUGCAUAUAAACAGAAGAUUGAUCCACAAAAAAAACUCUAUAUGUUAAUUUGCAACUUAUUUGCUCCACAACCUUUAACCACUAUAUCCCUUCAUUAACAAGACCGCGUAACUCACCCUUUUCUUCUUCUUUUUUUCUUUUGCCACAGGGUUAUGUAGAUCACUCAUAAGUUAUCACAACCAAAGUGAAAGAUGAUUUUUAUUAUCCUAGAGACUGAGAAACUAGAACUUCCAUGACCGCCUGUAUCAUUUCACAUAGGACAAAAGACUGAAAACUAGCACCCUACCUGUUAAUUACGAUAAAAUGAGCCAAUGCUCGUGGAAUUGCAUACAUCUCACUGGAGGCAUGCAAGAUAUUAGAAGGCUACAUUAAUAUAAUUCAGAAGAUUAAUCAUCAGCUUUAAGAGAAAAUAUCACGAUCAUACGUACUACUUCGAUCUUCGAGUCCUACCAUAAGCAAACUAAAGUAAAUAAUUAAUAAAAAUAUUUAAAAUUUACAUAAAAUUUAGUAGCGCAAGUUGGUUCACAUUAUAUAUAUAACCAGUAACUUUGACAUACAAUUUAUACAAAAAAUAAUUUUCCAGAAGGCGCAUUGACUUAUCCUCAUCCAAAAAGCCCAAAUAAAUUUCAAACUACAUACUUCCUUCCAAUUGUCUUGAACCCAAUCAUGAGUGGAAAUUUAACCGUCGGACCAGUUACUUACAUUGGCUGCACAUCGAUACAUCACUGAUAUGACCUAUUGAUCCAAAUACCCUAACUAUUCUUGUUUGUGCAAAAUAACAUACAAUUGCGAAAACUAUGGCUUAGAGUUCAAAUAAACUAUAUCGGGAACGAAGAGUAUAGCAACAGUAACAAUGAUCCACGUUUAAUCAUUAAUGUCUGCCUGUUAUAUUAGUAACUAUGACCGAAGUGGGCAUUAGAAAAAAAUUGUGAAAUGCUAAUAAAUACACAAGCACAGAUAUAAUCGACAUAGUUAUACUCAUGAUUCUGUAUGAUUUGCUUUGUUGCUAUGGAAUAUCUACACAUGAAAAUAACAUUGAGAUUACCUACUAGGUUGAAAUACCCUGAAUCAAACAGCCCUAUUGUAUUUAUAUUACAUCUUAGUAUAGUAUUAAGUAAUUUUUGUUAUGUAUUAUUAUAACCUUAUGAUACUUCCAUAUUUGUUAUGCUAGUCCUAAUUCUGAUUGACAAUUUUCGUGUAUCAUUAUAAUACCUAUCGAGUAGCUUUCAUUAAUAAUUGAUCCACUUUUGGAGUUGAUGCUGCAUAAAUCCUAUUCAACCAGCUGCAACAAUGUCAACAUUAAGGUAAGCUACAGCCCUUGAGGCUAGCCUUUCUCUAUUCUCAUUAACCUAUCAUAUUGAUCCUAUCUGAAAAAUGGUAACAACUUAAAUUAAGUGAAUUUAAUUGUGUGCAUCUCUAGUUUGUGUUCAGUGAAAUAGAGUUAGAAAAAGAGACCAAGCCAUACUCUUUUGCGUCCCAAUUAUAAAAGAUGAAGGUCAAUCUUGGUUUUCACCCCUUUUUCUGCAAAUUCCUUAGCCUAUCAGCAACACAAUUACAAAGAUGAUUGUCAAUCUUGGUUUUCACCCCUUUUUCUGCAACUUCCUUAGCCUAUCAACAACCUGAGUAAAGCAAGUAAUCAGGUGUGUCCGCAUGGGGAAUGUUAAUACUUUAACGUGGAGACCUUGAUCUAAGCAUACCUUUAUAAAAGAGCCUGCAUAAACCCUGCAUGACCUGAAGUAAAGCUGUUGUGCCGCUGUUGGGUCAACAGCUCCAAAAGUCCAAGCCUCCCGAUAAUUACCUUUCUACAAAAAAGCUUAAUCACUUUAAUAAAUCACUGUUAUUCUGUGGAUUUAAAUGUAUAUAUCCUUCCUUCACUAACACAUAUAAAUACUUGACUUUAAAAAAAAAACUGAUAAUAGCAUAGUGAAAGGAGGAAUCCUCACUUUCUCUUCUGAACCACCUGGGCUUCGAGCCAUUUUCUUGUAUUUUUCUUGAGUGCAACAUAACACACCCAGACUUGAAGCAUAUUUCCAUCCGUAGCCCAGCUCCAUUCAAGAAAUAUAUACUCAGAGAACCACAUUGACCGGCCUAUGACCUGCACAUAGAGCAUUAAAUUUAAUGGCAUUAUCCUAAAAGACUUAGAUGUUUAACAAGGUAGUAUAAAAAUAUACCAACUACAUAUGAAAAGGAUUGAAGAAACUAUAAAUAUUUGACUAAAACUUAAUUAUUGAGCAUGUUUUCCAGUGAAUAAUUUAAGGUACCAUUAUCCAACAACAAAAUCAUUUAUUCAGUUACAGAGGAAGGUGUCAAAGGUACCCAUAAACAAUAAAGGGGGCUCCAACAGACCAACCUAUAAACCACUAAAAAAGAAAAUACAUUGGCUAAACAAAUUGUUUAAGUAGAAAAUUUGCAAACUUUGACAGCAGAACCGAACAAGAAAAUUAUUGAAGGAGUUACACAUAUAGCUCGCCUAGCCUAGGAUACCAAAGUAAGUGAGUACCUUUUAAAUUUUUUCCAAAUUUAUGUAGUAUGUUGAGAGUUCAAGUCACGUUCUUGUAAAGAGGAGAAGCAGCGCAGAUUUUAUCAAAUACGGUUCAUCUAAUUUGGCUAUUUUUGAAUGGACCAUAAUUUUUCUAUUACCAGUGUCCAUGGACACAAGUGAGCAGAUCCUGGACACCCCAAAUUUCAAAAAAUCAUAAAAAAUAUGUAAGUCCUCAGUUGGACAGCUACGGAGUCCAUGUAAAAAGGAACCAAUUCCACCCCCUUUUUCAGUUUCAUGAGUAUUUAAGAAAAGCAAUUAAAAAUCCCAGUUUCAACCAAGAAAGUUUUAAUCAAGUUCUUAUAAUGAAAAAUCCUUAGUGAACAUUUAACUCUUCAGAGAAAUUACAUUCAAAGUGAAUUUAAAGCACUUACAGGGAGGAACUUGGAUGAUUUCUUCAUAACAGCUAAGCACUACCAAGUCAACCUUAUCGCUGGUGUGUGAAACAAUAUAAUUAGCAGCGCACAAAACAUAUAGUAAUAAAAACUUAAUUAUGUAAAACAUUGCAAUUUAAUUUUCCUUGACCUCCAAAGGUUAGUAGGAAGUACGGAAGCAAUGGGCAAGGUAUCCUUCUUGAUGUAGAAUUCUUUCGAACUUUACACAUAGGUCUGCAUAAUAAAACUUAAAUGUUAUCAGACUUAUUUAUUCUUAAAACAAUGUAAUUCAGAUAUAUUAGAGCGAUUCAUUAGAACCAUUCUUUCUUUACGCAAUCUAACACAACUUAGAACCUACUGGCAAUAGAGCUUUACUUUUCUGACAACCUACGCAAGCCAAGUUCUCCUGCCUUUUAGCCAAAAACCAAGAGAGGCCAGAUUAAUCUCGGUGCGUUUUAUAUCCAGCUUGGUAUAUUUGCCUCCAAAAGUUGCUUUGGAGCUGCAAAAACAGGUAGUUGGUAACAAGGUUGUUUACAACAUCAGAGGAACAUUUAAGGUAAGGGUCAAGUUUGGUUUGAUUCACUUCCACUACUGGUUGCAUAGAAGAUGCCAAUUAGAGCUGACAAGUCCUCCAACUGGCAUCCUUAUCACCAGAAGCUGUAAAAUUAAGAGAUGAAGAAUGCAUUCUUCCCCAAUGCUCGUGGAAUUGCAUACAUCUCACUGGAGGCAUGCUGAAAGUAUCUAUGUACGAUAAAGAUAUUAGCAGGCUACAUUAAUAUAAUUCAGAAGAUUAAUCAGCAGCUUUAAGAGAAAAUGUCACGAUCAUACGUACUACUUCGAUUUUUCGAUUCCUACCAUAAGCAAACUAAAGUAAAUAAUUAUUAAAAAUAUUUAAAAUUUACAUAGAAUUUAGUAGCGCAAGUUGGUUCACAUUAUAUAUAUAACCAGUAACCUUGACAUACAAUUUAUACGAAAAAUAAUUUUCCAGAAGGCGCAUCCACUUAUCCUCAUCCAAAAAGCCCAAAUAAAUUUCAAACUACAUACUUCCUUCAAAUUGUCUUGAACCCAAUCAUGAGUGGAAAUUUAACCGUCGGACCAGUUACUUACAUUGGCUGCACAUCGAUACAUCACUGAUAUGACCUAUUGAUCCAAAUACCCUAACUGGCAUCCUUAUCACCAGAAGCUGUAAAAUUAAGAGCUGACAAGUCCUCCAACUGGCAUCCUUAUCAACAGAAGCUGUAAAAUUAAGAGAUGAAAAACGCAUUCUUCCCCUGUUUUAGUUCAUCUCCACUGAAAUUUCUUUCACAACAAAAAGAGUGAAAACUUCAAAUGUAUAGAUUGAUGUCAUGCAUAUGGUUCUGUAUGCAGAAUUAAUUAUCACAAAAACAGAAAGACCUUAUAUUAUAUACUAAUUGCAUAUUCCAUAGAAAGUUCUAACAAUUUAAUUAUACAAGAGUAUCCUCAAUAUCAAAAUAAUAACACAAGCACAAAAAUAGAUGACACAUUGACAAGCACCAAAAAGACAUUCUAUGGAAGUAUUAGAAAUAUGUUCUUUAUAUCUAUUCAAGCUCACAUAAAACAAAUUGCAAAAAUGUAGACUUGCCAUGGGAAUGAUCAAUCAUCUCAAAUAACCUAAGUAGACUUCAGGCUGUGAUAACUGUAAAAUCCACAUCAAAAGAAGCCCACCACUACUAAUUAUUUUUCUAGAGUACUACCAACUAUGUAUCUGUGUGUGAAGGUGAUGGAAAGUGUCAUAGAAUGAGGUAGCACCAUCAGUUUCCUAAUUUGGAGAUAUAAUUAUUUCAUACCAAUGACUCAUUCUAACAAGAUCUUAGCGCACCUAUACGUUCAAAAUCUAAUUACCAUAAUACAUAAACAUUAAAAGCCUAAAUGGAGCAGAGUAAAGGAAUAUACCUAAGGAGAAGCAAAGACUUUUUGAAGUAUAGAACCCUUUUAGCAGCAUUCGAUUCAAGCAUCUGGUAUAUUACAAAGAGGGAUCUAAUAUCAUCAACUAAAGACCAUCGAUCAUAUAAUUGCAGACAACAAUAUGGAAUUGUUUAGUUAGGAACAUGUAGCUGGGAUGCUGCAACACGUCCUUCAAACAUCCUAUGAUUUGGGCUAAGUGUAAGAAUUGCUUGAACAUCAUAAACUAUACAAGCCAGUAUGAGGGCAAUGUACAUAGAACAUAAACAUCAUUGACUUUGAUAUAGAAUAUAUAAAAAUUGAACUCAACUAAGACUUAAUAUGCAUCAAUAAAAAAACUCUUGUUCAACUACAAUAAUAGCAAUUUCAUAUAAAAUAAAAUUUACUUAACAAUUAAACUAAAACCGUCCAUAAUAUUUUCUCUGAGCUUCAGCUACAUGAAAGUCAUUAUUUAUGAUUGUGGAUGAGUCACGCACAUUCACUCCCUUGGGAUAGGCCACAUGUUCAAAUAAUUUGACAGGAACCAUUCCAUAUCCCUCGUAUCCCCAAGAUUUCCAUGUGUUUUUUAUCAAAAAACAUUCAGUGCCCUCAUCUUCAUCCCCAAUGUCCAUGUCAUCAUCGUCCUCAUCCUGGUCGCCAAUUCUCUUGCCCUUGUCGAAUCCAUAACCUACAAUGUAGACCAUAUGGUCUGGACAAUGCGAUUUUCCGCUUGUAUCAACAGGUUUGAUUGGCGAAAGACUUCGAUUAUAAUUAUAACGCACAAAGUUAUCAUAAUUUGAAAACAACCCUCCAACUGCAGGAUGUUUGGUUUUUAUUAUCGGUAUCGCCUUUUCAGCCUCCAAAAUUCGGUAGGUAUCAAUGAAUAUUCUUUCAGGAGCUGUUGUUCUGAGGGCGUGAAAUUGUUCCAUCGAAAAUGGGGUAAAAUUGUUUCCGAGGAGAGGUUGCUCAUACAGAUAAUCAGACUUAAAAAAUGUACCAAAACAUUUCAAAUACUGAAAUAUCUCUGGUACAGUUGCCCCGAAACCAUUACCUAUGUCGUAGGGCGGCCACACAUAUUGAUUCACCGAAUGAGCAGGAGGUUUCGCUUUCAUAUCGAAAAAAGAGCUCAAAAAUGGCAGCCAAUCCCGCAUCUCACUGGCUGUGAUAGCCUGUAUUUUCCUUGUAAAAAAAAAAAAAAAAAAAAAAACUACUUUUCAAUGGUGUUUAAAACUUUGAUAAAAUAUAUUUCUAUGUGAUUAUAUUUGAAUACGUGUGUUGUUAUUUUAUAAGAUUUUAUAUACUGAAGUGUUAUCUCUAAGCAAAUAUUUAGGCCAGAACUUCCGUUAGCAAGUGGAUAGAUCUUAAUUCAAAAUAAUGAUCACGUACCCAUAAUUGUAGGAACACGUUGAACCAAGUAUGUACAUAAAUACACGUACUUGUUUCACUUAUUUUCUUGUACAGCUCUUCUCUUCUAAAAGGUAUGUCUAUGUUUAUGUCCUGCUUAUGUGCUCUGCUCUGCUAUACACUCUUGGCUGAUAUUUGACAUUAUAUGUAUAACAUGUUUACUACAGUGAAUUUAGUUUGUCACUGUGUUGUGUAUAUACAUGUCUAUUUUACUAGUUUUACACAUACUGUUGGCUACUGUAUAUUAUAUGUUUUCUAUUAUUGUAUAUUAUAUGUCUUCUAUUAUUAAGUGUUUGUGUAAUAUCUUGUUUAAAGUUUCAUGCCUUUAUCUUUUGUUAAUUAUUUUACUGUAUAUAAUGGAGUCUGAUUUUUUAUUAGAUCUCAAAAUUGUUUUGGAGUGAUUAAAAUUAUGUUUAUAAUUAAUUUCUGAAAAAUAUGCUUUUAUGUAUAUAUGCAUCAAUUUUGGAUAUGAAUAUCUUUGAUUUUAUAAUUUAAUAUGCAUGUUAAUCUUUUAUGAAUUAUAUUAGAUUUACGUAAUUAAUAUACAUUAUUUUAUUAAAACUAUUAUUAUUUUAUGUCACUCUUGUCAAUUAUAAUAGUAGUAUUUUAAGACUAAUGUUUACUUGUAUAUUUAUGAACAAAAUUGUUUAGUAAAUAUUUGUGGAGACUUGUAUAUUAUGAGAUUGUUUAAUAUUGUGUGUUUAUAUUUGAUUGGCUACAUAUGUAUAAAUUAUUAGUUUUUGUUGAAUUCAGUUUACUGGAGUUUUGGGAUAUGGACAGAUAGGGUAAAUUGUGAAUUAUUUGUAAUCUGUUUAGAAGUGAUGGAUGGGCUUGUUGAGUGGGCUUUAUGUGUUACUUGCACAGGCUAUUUGUAUGUGUUCACGUCAAAAUAGGUUAACUGUGUAUACAAUAUAAAAUUAGUUUAUGUAUACUUGUACUGGCUUAUAAAAAUGUUAUGAUUAUUCUAUGCACUUAGUUUAUAUCUUCUUUUAUUUAUUUGUAUAAUUGUUAAGAUUAGUUAUAUGAUUAAUGGCUUAAUUUAAUUACUCUCAUUAAUAAAUUUUGUAAUAUAUGAGGUUAUUAUAUUUUCAAAAGACAAACUAUUUUAGAGAGUCUCUUUCUUAAAUCAUUUUUUUUUAUUAGAGUUGCAUAUUUAAUUAUGUGCCAAGCUAAAUUUAUUUUGUAUGAUUAUAAUAUAUAUAAGUAAUAUUGGACCUUAUUAUUAAUGUCAUGUUUAAUUUAUUUUAGGAAUAUGCAAAUUGGGUGCAACAUGUAAUAAUAUUAUAAUAUCAUUUAUCGAUAUUUUUGUAGUGUCUCUCUUGUUUUAAAAUCAUUGUCAUGAUAUUUUAUUUAAUUAUUUAAAUUAGAUAUUUAUCAAGUUUUGUUUUAUUGGUUAGGAAAUCAUUUGAUCAUUGAAUAUUGUGCAUCGGUGUUGCUAGUUAAGGUAAGUUAACUUUUCAGUCUUGCUAAUGUAUUUAUUUGAAACUUUGUUUUGUUUAAAUAUUUGGUUCAAGUUAACUUGUUGAGUGGGCUUUAUGUGUUACUUGCACAGGCUAUUUGUAUGUGUUCACGUCAAAAUAGGUUAACUGUGUAUACAAUAUAAAAUUAGUUUAUGUAUACUUGUACUGGCUUAUAAAAAUGUUAUGAUUAUUCUAUGCACUUAGUUUAUAUCUUCUUUUAUUUAUUUGUAUAAUUGUUAAGAUUAGUUAUAUGAUUAAUGGCUUAAUUUAAUUACUCUCAUUAAUAAAUUUUGUAAUAUAUGAGGUUAUUAUAUUUUCAAAAGACAAACUAUUUUAGAGAGUCUCUUUCUUAAAUCAUUUUUUUUUAUUAGAGUUGCAUAUUUAAUUAUGUGCCAAGCUAAAUUUAUUUUGUAUGAUUAUAAUAUAUAUAAGUAAUAUUGGACCUUAUUAUUAAUGUCAUGUUUAAUUUAUUUUAGGAAUAUGCAAAUUGGGUGCAACAUGUAAUAAUAUUAUAAUAUCAUUUAUCGAUAUUUUUGUAGUGUCUCUCUUGUUUUAAAAUCAUUGUCAUGAUAUUUUAUUUAAUUAUUUAAAUUAGAUAUUUAUCAAGUUUUGUUUUAUUGGUUAGGAAAUCAUUUGAUCAUUGAAUAUUGUGCAUCGGUGUUGCUAGUUAAGGUAAGUUAACUUUUCAGUCUUGCUAUUGUAUUUAUUUGAAACUUUGUUUUGUUUAAAUAUUUGGUUCAAGUUAAACAUUUUAGAUAUAAGAAUUCCCAGUUAGCUCUGACCUAUGAAACCGUUAGUAUCUGCGUAUAGUUCCGGAACUAGCCUAUGAUACCUUACUAGGGGUGCCUGUUAUGAUACCUUCGGGGUUGCACACUUUAUGAUACCUUAGUAAGGGGCGCAUUACUGACAAAGUUAUGAACUUAUGAUACCGAGUCACCGGGUAUUUGUGACCUUAGCGAGCUGUGGAAUUAUCUUAUAUAAUGAUUCUGGAUUUAUGAAACUUAUGAAAUUAUGUAAAAUACUUGAUCCAUUAGCUUGUGUGAUUGGUUAUCUUGCUGGGCUUGUAUAGCUCAUUACUUACAAACUUUCAGGUGCCUAGCUUUUGGAAUCGAGAGGGAAUUGGCUUAGUUUGCUCCAAAGAUUUGAAUUUGCAUAAUUCUAGUAUAGAGUUGUGUCACUUUAUUUGAGAUUAUGUCAGACUAUGAUUUCUUUGAUUUUAAUUGUAAUGUCGCUGCAUUUGAAUUUUAUCAUGUUAAAUGACAUUUGAGAUUUGAGAUUUAGCAUUUGAGUAUUGAUUAUUUGAUUUAAAAAGUUGGGUCGUUACACUGGCUGAUAUAUCUUCCUUCAGCGGAUGUUUCUCCAGAUAGGCGAUAUCUCUUACGCACUCUUGGAUCGAGAAAUUCCAACACUGACCCGUAUAAUAUUGUAAAGAUAUCGGAGAAAAGGGUAAUUCACCUCGCCAAUCUUUGACAAUAUUCCAAUUAGCCGGAUAAUAAUAUCCGCUGCUUCCUCCUUCCAUGAGAGAUUCGAAGAGUGUGUAGGGUUGGGGUUUCGAACCGGUAUUAAUUCUCAGGGUCCAGCGGUGAGUUGUGACGGAGUGAGGUUGAUUGUUGUGUGUCUGUGUGUUUCGUGCAAUUAGGGCUGAGGCGCGCCACACUGGGAUAUUUGCAUAUAGCUAUAACAUAAUAGGAUAUUAGGUAUAUAUGUUAUUUAAUAUAUAAAAUAAUUAUAUUAAUUAUAUAUAAGUUCCGUCCAUUCGGUAGAGGACUGAAAUUUUUUAAUGAGAUCAUACCGGACCGUAUUUUAUUUUGGUUCGGACCGAAAUACCCGAAUCAGAUCAAAAUUUCAGAAAAUUAGGAUCAAGUUGGACCGAAUUUAUUCGGUUCGAUUCGGUUUUUUGGUUUUGCUCAUCCCUAAUUGUAAAAUCAUACUUUAUUUUCUACUUUAAUUGAGAUUGAGGGAUGAAAUUAUUAUUUUUAGAUAUUUCAUAUUUACUUACUUUAACGUAUAAACUAUAACAAAACGUAAAUAUUGUCAAAAGUGUUCUUGUAAUGUUCGGGUUAUAAUAUAUUAUGUUAUUUUAUUUUUAAAAUUAUUUGAAAUUAUAUUAUUUUUAAAAUUAUUUAAAAUAUUAUUAUAAUAAUUAAAAAUUAUUAGAUAAUUAAAUCAUUUAAAUUAAGCCCAUGCUUUAAUAUUAUACUCUAUUUUAAAAAUAUAAAAUUUAAUAAUUAAAUAUAAUCAAACCAUUUAAAGUUAGCUCAUGCAAAGCAUGUAACCUAGUGUAAAUAACUUUCAAACAUCUUCUUUUUAAAAAAGUUACCUUUUAGAGCUAAAAUAACACUAUAUUUUCGAUAAUUGUUUUUAAUUUUUAUUUAAUAUUUAACUGACUUCUAAAAUGCCCCUCCGCAUUUUUGAACACAAAUGGCACUUUCUAAUACAAAAUUGAAUCACACUUUCAAAUACAAAUUCAACUCGGGCUUGAUUAAAUCCAUUUAAAAUACUCUGCAUAUUUGCUUUUGAGUUUAAAUCCGAGGUUCUUAAUUCACCUAAUUAAACAAUACAAGACACAAAAUUCUCUUCAGCAACGUAUAUGCUCAUAAAUUUACAAUAAUAAGAAACAUCAAAAUAAAAAAGAAAAAAAAAACAAUCACCACUUUUAUCUUAUCUCUGUCUCUAUAACAAAUUCAAUUAGUUGGCCCAACUAGAUGAAGAAGCGGAAUGUACUUGAAAAAUAUGCAAAACUAAUGUCGGUAGGUGUGAAGACCAGAGAGAAGCAGGAGUGAAGGAGGGAGGGGGAGGAGGGAUAAUUUCCAACUUCAACACAAGGAGAGUCCCAUGAGCACAUUAUACAGGGAUGCUCUGCCUUACAGUUUGGAGAUGAAGAACAAGAAUUAAGUGAUAUUCUUCCGCUUAUAUUCAAAGAUUUGAAGGCACGGUGAUUAAGCAACAAAAAAUAGGAAAAUCAUGAGGAACACAAUCAGCACAAAGAAAAUCUUGAUCAUCAGCCAUCUGUUUGAUGAUAUGCUGUUAAGGUAUCUGACCAGUUGCCCCUGUGCACCCUCUACAUUCGCCAAAGUAUCCUCCAUGUUCUCGUCAAUCCUGUCAGCAACAAAAUGUUUAAGAUAAGUUAGCAAGUAGAAACUUCUUUGACUAGACCUGUAUAGUAACGCAUACACGAAUGCUUAAGUUACAAAAAAAAAUAUUAUUUGCUUAAUUGCUUCCAUCUCGGAAAGAACAUCUAGGUCAUUAUCGGUCUAACCAGCUACCCACAUAUGUUUUAAAUUACUUAACUAUCAUUGCGAGGUAUGCCAAGACUUCCCUCAGUGAAGUGAAUAAUGAUACUUUAAACAGAAUUCAUAAAUGGCAUCAAAUCAUGUAAACUGUUUCUGUGCUAGACCUACCAAAUUCAAAAGGAUCCCUCAAUUAUCUUUUGUCAUGAUGCAGAAUACCAAUUAAGAAAGAAUAAACUACUUUCAUUCCAAUCAUAUAUAUUGCAAUGCAUUUUACAACAAUAAAAAUCACUAGUAUUUGCUGUAGCUAACCAACCUAAUUGCAAGUUCCCCCUGCUGUGACACCAUUGUUGCCAAUUGAGUAAAGAUGUUGCUCAACUCAUGAAUAGUUGACUCUACAUUCUGGAGAGCUUCAGCCCUACUAUUCAUGUAAGUGUCUUGUAAAGGAACCAACUGUUGUUGCUGUUGAUCUUGUUGCUGGUGUAGCAAAGGCUGAGAUUCCCCAUCUGCCUGCUUCCUGUGAGGAAAUUGUAGAAAUCCUAAUUAGGUAUUUUAAUUAUAAUAUUAUUUUAUAGAUAAAUAUAUAAAUUUAUAUAUAAUAGCAUGUAUGGACUCCAGAUAAGACCAGAAAUUGUGUACGCAGUACUAAAACUUCAUUCCUGACAUGUUAGUUUAAAUAGAAUAUCUAUCAAUAGAAGUGCAAGGCUUAACUUGUAUGAAGUUUCUUUCUUUGCUACAGCUGAUAAAAAUUGUAUCGGCUAAGUUCACGAGUUGGAGAUAAGCGGACUCGAACCGUAUGGUAGACGUAAAUAAUUAUGACAUGGUGGUGUAAAUGAUCCUUUUAAUCCUAAAUUAAGUACACAGAACUAUAAAUACAAAUUCAUAACACAAAUUACUAUUUUUCUAAUAAUUAUUAAUCUAUUUAGAACUCAAUUAGUUUUGAGCACAUAUUCAGGCUGACGAGAAAAUACACUACACAAUUACCAAGUCAACCCUAGAUGGAUCAUGGAUGUCAAUCAAGAAGAACUAGAAAAAUAAGUAGCUACAAGAAGUGGCAGCACUACAUCCCAGAGGUCUGAUCAGACCAUAUGGGAACAUUAUUAUAGUUUUAACAAGUUGCUAAACUAAAUGCUGAUACAGAUGCUGGAGUAACUACUUUCCAGGGGUUCAUUACUUGCACCUACGAGAAAUCACCCUUCCUAUACCUCCAGUCAAAAUAGAUAUAUUGAUCUGCAAGGCUUUUAGCCUAGCAAAUUCUCCCUCCAGCUCUGUUUGUAAUAAGAAUUGGAGGGUUCAAGCCUUAGUAGGGAACGAGUGCAAGAGUAUAUAAUUUUCUGAACUUGACCGCAACAGAAUUUGUUUUUACAAAAUACAGGAAUAUUAGUUGACAUAGAAGGCGACCAGCUCGAUAAUGGACCAACUGCUCCCUCUAUAAUCUAACACUAGACAUAUAUUUCUAUAAGAUUUCGUCUCUUAAAUGGGUAGAUAAAAACGAAAAGUCAUGUCAUAAUAGAUAAAAACACCGGGAUUUUACCAGAACAAACUAUAAACAUGGAUUAAAUUUUUCAGAUCAGAAAAAUCUUUUCAGAUUCAACUAAUCAACCAUCAACACUAAUACUGCCAUGUGAUCUUUACCUUGGAAAUAACUGAGAUGAAGAUGCAGAACCAUUGGCCCAAGGAGGAGGAGCAUUUGAUGUACCUGCAGCUGAUUUGGCAGCCAAGGGCCGCUGGCGAACAAAAGGAUUAGUAGCCUCUUUCGAAUUGGCUGAAGUAAACAACUGCCUUCUGUUUUCAUGAACUUUCAAGUUCUGUGCAAACAAAAGUUAAACAAUAUAUUAGCAAACAAUACAAAAAACAUUGAAGCAAUGACCAGAAGGUACAAAUAUAGUACUUUAAUGCUUUCUAAAUUAAUGUACAGCAUACAGAACACUAGAUCUUGGCUAAAGUACAUUAACAAGUAACAAACCUCUGUCCGCAUGGUAAGAACUUCUUUGAACUCUUUUGUAGUGCUCAUCAAGCGAUUUUUCAGAUUAUCAACAACUGUGGUUGAAUGAGUUGUUGUGUCGCUUGAAAUAUUUCCACUAUUAUUUUGUGAGUUGCAAACAAGUUGCAAGUCCACUACAGCUGAGUUCAGUGCCGUAAUAUCCUGCUUGAUGACAGCUGUUAACUCUUGAAUCUCCAUCGUUGGGUCAUCAAAAACUGAAGUUCGCUUUGCCACUGUAACAAAAAAGAAAAAACACCUGUAUAAAUUACUCCUACAUUGUCUGGUAGUGUGUACAUAAUGCAGAAGCAAUAGCCACUACAAGUACAUGUUUGGCGUGAUAUAGACAAACACAGAAGUAAAUAAUAAUCAUGUUAUCCAUUUAAGCACAAAGAUGCCAACAACUACAUCUCAAAAUAUCAGACGUUAUAUGCUUACACAUAGAGACACAAAUGCUCCAACAGAUAUACAUGUCCUCACAAAGAGACCUUGUGGCAUGGUAUGCUAAAGAAUCAAUAACAGAUAUAGUAAAAAAAUUAAGCAAAUUUUUUAAAAAAGAGCCCUGAUAUUGAAAUAAAACCCACUAUCAAUUGAACUUGAUCAAAUCCAUUAAUGAUACCCUCAGUCACAUUAUCCUUGAAGGAUUUUUACUAAUCUACCUUAGUACCGUUUGUCAAAACACGACAUAUUACAGUAAUACAGCAUUUACUUUAAUACAACAUAUCAGCUGAAAAAUUCAAAAACAAACAGACCCAAUUUCAUGAUCUUCCUUGGAAAUCUUAUUACUUCACUAGAAUGAUUGAAAACAUUAUGUUGCAACAAUCUUCAGCUCACUUCCACUAAUAAAAUAUUAGUUAUAGAGUGGGUUUAAAGAAUAUUGUUGGAGGUGGAUACGAACGAAGUCAUUAGGAGCCAAUUCUUUAUAUUAUUUUUAGGGAGCGAGCUAAAAGUCUCAUGUGAUACAGUAUGCUAAAGAAUAAGUACCGUGAUUAACAUUGAACUAAUCUAGUACCACAGUCCUAAUAAUGAGCUAAAACCACUAUCACUUGGAAUUAAUUAAAUCCAUUUAGGAACUUGGAUACUCUGCAGUCAAACUAUCCUUCACAUGUUUUUAUUUUCUUUCUUUUGUGUGUUAAUGUGGUGUGGUGUGGUGUGGGUCUUAGAGAAGCACCAAGUUAUGUGAAGUCAUCACCCAGGAAAGAAUUUGUCAAAAAGAAAAGUAUUUCCGAAUUUGUGGUCAGUUAUACACUUUCAACCACUAAACCUGUCUACAAAUCUACCUACAACUCUACCUUAAAACCAUUUGCCAGACUACACACAAAAUAUUACAGCAUAUGAAACAGACUUAACAUCUAAUGGAACUAUGCUUCCAACUAGACAAAUCACUUUUCUUACGUCAUGAGUGUAAUAAACAAAACAUUCCACAACAAUCUUCUGUUUUUCCCAUUUUACUCGAGUUUCUUCUUUCCCCCAGAAUAUAAGCAGGUAACAAGACAACAUUUCUAAGCAGUGAUGCAACCAGUUUUCAAGCACAACAGCUACAGCUAAAAUGUAAUUCACCAAUCCACCGGAUAAAAGAAACAAAAAACUUUUUAACAAACAUAAUUUCUACGAUAACCGGAAUUCUCUUCAUUUCUCCCCCAACUACAGCUGAAGCUUACUAGUAUACUAAUACAGUUAUGAGGGAAAAAACAAAUUCUUAAACUAUAUAAAAUGUGAAAGCACCAUCGUCUAUAGAUUUCAAUCCAACAGCCAAAGCAAAAAUAAAAUAAAUUAUCAACUAGCUACAAUCGGUAUCGUAAUUACAUCGUAAAACCAUAAUUCGAAGACGUGAUAACCAUAUCAAAACCCGCAAACUCACAUUCCGAACAUAAAAACAAUCAUUCCAAAUUCCAAAAUCAACCAAUUCAAAAUCACAAAACCCACAAAUUUCACAAAACAACACAACUCAAAAUCCCGAAAUUCACGACACCAAAACCAACUCACAUUUCGCCAGCUUCGACAGCUUCUGCGACGUCUGGUGGAUCCCAAACCCAAUCUUCGACGCCCUCUUAUUAAACUCCGACUGAUUCGCCACCGCCGACCCGACCCGAUCCGUAAUGCUCCGACCCGACGACGUCGUCGCCACACUAGACGCCACCGUCUUCUUCAACCUCUCCGCUAUGCUCUCGAACUCUACGGUCCGAUCUCUAUACGACGAUUGAGCCGAUUUCUUCAACAUUAUAUAUAUCUAAUUUGUAUGUAUAGGUGUAUGUAUAGAUCCCCAAAUCGAUGAAACCCUAGAUCUUGUGUGAAUUGAAUUCAGAUCCCUAAAUUGGGUGGAAGAUUGUAUCUAUAGGUGUGUGUAUCGGUGGGAGAGAGAUAACCGACAAGAGAGGGAGAGAUAGAGAGAGAGAGAGAGAAUGGCGCCUGAGAGAGAUUUUAUUAGCUGGGAUAGUGUGAAAAUUAAUCAAAUUUUGUGUUAAAUUGGUGUUUUCUUAGGAUCAAUUAAAUAAAUUAAAUUUAUAUUAUUUAUUUGUAUUUACAAAAAAUUGAGUGAUGAAAAUUUAUAUAAAAAGAAUUUCAUGUCCAAUAACAAUGAUAUAUGUAAAAAUAUAUGAAAGAUUUCUUUCUAUACUUUCAUCAUUUUAGAUUUUUGACAUAAUUAUUAUGGUAUAUAUAAAAUCUUAAGCAUUAGUUUUGAAAAUAUAUAAAUGAGUAAGCUUACUUUUAAUUUAAAAAUAACUUUUUGUUAUUAUUUAUCAUAAAUAAUAAACGCGAUAAAAUAUGUUGCAAUAUGUUCGCUUUGACCAACUGAACACUCUGAUGGUUGAUGUGAACUGAUAUGUACUUUGUGCAUACAAAAACAAAGACUCUCUAACCAUAAAUGAGAAAAAUCAAGCAGAACCCCUGAAGCACAGCAAACAAAAUGUAGAAAACUGUCCUUAAAAUCGAAGAAUCUUCGACAAUCAUAACUGGAAAUCGACACUUGUCGUCUGACGGAUCCUCGUCUGUCAGCGUAGCCAGGCCUGAGAAGUUGCAUGCUGUAAUGUACUGGUUCUGAAACUGGUAAUACAUGUUGAAAGCAUAAGAAGCAUUUUCUUUGACACUUAAGUGAUUGCAAGAAGAACCAUAACUCAAUGCACUGCAAUCAGAAUGGCUACAAGCAUAAUCCAUACUGGUUCCUAAGUUUUUCGGUUUCUUCAAAUGUGGGCUCAGAACACACCAUCUCUUGUCCAUGUAUCGGACGCCUUUCACUGCAGUGAAGCUGUUGUUGUCGUUCCAGCCUGACAAGUCCAAUUUGUAUUUAGGCUUGCCAUCAAACUGGAAUAUGCCCCAGUGCCUCUCGAAGUAACCUGGAUCAAUGCUUUUAAUGUUUUCGUCGAUGAGGCUGAAAAGAUAAACGUCGAUUAGUACUCCUUUUCGUGCAGGAGUUCCUUUACCACUCAGAGCAUGCUGAAUCAGUCCUUGAUUGAAUCUUCUAGCGUUUUUUUUGUUAGCAUUUUUAUUUCCGUCAGUUGGCCAUCCGAUUUCUCCCACUAUGAUCUUCAUGUCGGGAUAUCCAGCUUUCGUCAAAGACCAAACAAGAGUGUCAAAAUUUGCAUCAAACACAUUAGUGUACACAUUGGCACCAUCUCUGAUAACCAGCUUAGGAGAUCCAUCAAAAAAGGCCUUGUCUAUUGGGAAAUGAUCAUCGUCAUAAAGGCUUAAAAACGGGUAAAUAUUGACAGUAAAAGGGGCAUUACUAGAGUGGAGAUGGCGGAUGAUGUCAAUCAUAAGCUCACGGAUGUCUGGUCGAAAAUCUCCAGCAGAAGGAACAGGAUUCGAAGCUGGAGCAUAGUAAAUGUCAGCACUAGAAGGAAUUGUGGCUUUAAUCUGUGAUCCAAUUCCGACAUUGUUGAGAGCUCCCUGCACAUUCUUGAGGGCUGGUAAAAUAUACGGCAGAUAUGUGCCAUUAUAACUUCUAAGCAAAGGGUCAUUCCCAACAGCAACAUACCUACAAGCAUUUGUAUCAAGUAGAUUAUAGCAAGAAUCAAAUAUUCCCUUUAGCAAGACUAGCUACGGAACUUAUCUAGCCCUAUAAACAACCACUUGCACUAAAACUCGUUACAGAUUAACAAAUUAAGGGAGAGGGGGAGGGUGAGAGAGGGAGAGAGAGGGGGAGAGAGAGAGAGAGAGAGAGGGGGAGGGAGGGAGAGAGAGAGAGGGAGGGAGGGAGAGAGGGAGGGGGAGAGAGAGAGAGAGAACUGUGCACUCACUUGAAACUUACUCCACCUCUGUAGACAUAAGCAGCAACAUUAGACUCCACCCAAGAAACAGCAUUUCCAGGGUCCUGACUCAUCUCCAUCAACAUGCCAUUCGGAAUUCCUAACACAACUUCGAUAUUCGUCCCGAUAAAGGCCUCAAGAACCUUGUGAUCAGCCUCAAACAACUUCACUUUGUUGAUGCCGUUUCUUAACAUCAUUUCAACUACAUUGUUUGGUGGCAACUUGUGGCUACUCAUUGUGCCCCAGUUCACUCCUACACUUGACCCAUGCACAAACAACCCCAUGUAAACAAUCACAAGCACCAUUGUUAUGAAGAGAUGAUCACAGAGUAAUAUUAUGUCUGUCAUUUUCUUUACUUCUUGAUAGUUUCUUGAUGGGCUUUUUUUUGUUUUUGUAACUUUCUUGGUUCAAGAAAAUUUUAGAUAUUAAAAAAGUUGGCUAAAGUUUAAUAUCCGAAACUAAUUAAUUUAGUCGUCUUUUGUAGCAUCAAAAAUUUCUUUUUCUUUUUCAUUUACAAAGUUAUUUAUAAUUUUCAAACAUAUUUGAAACUCAAUAAUUUUAUAUUUUUUCCGUAAAUGACAGCUCUUUCAGAAAAAUGAAGUUAUCAAAAGUUAUUUCUCCAGAAGUUCCCUAAGUUUUAAAUUUGUGUAUAUCUCACCGUUCCUCAAUCAAUAAACCAAUGUCCUAUUGUCCUCAAAGAUGUAGAAAUAAAAUUUAACCUAAAAAUUUAAACCCAAAUUUAUAGUACAAAUUUUAUUAUCUUCUCCCCCGUUUCAUUCCUUCUCCCCCGUUUCAUUCCAUCCGAUGAACGCAACCUAAAAGUAUACAAACAUUUUAACAACUAUAAUACGGUUUAACAAAAAUGUGAUAACAUGAACUUAAAAUUUUAUAUAUUGGAAUAAUUGUUUCUCAGUGAUUAUUUCAGAUUACACUGCGUAUUGUACUUGGGCUUUUUGCCUUUCAAAUUUAAGAAGAGAACUAUGGAACAUAUGUGUUAAAUCACCGAAUCUGCGAUUCUUUCAGACAGAUCCUGCAAGUGCUUAUACAUAUUGAUCUGUAGAUUAGCACGGUGUGGGAAUCUCCAAGUCAUCUUCACCGAUACAGGCUUCUUCUGGCAGCUUGAAACUUAAACAAUACAUAGCCUGCAAUACAGAAGUGUUGGUUAUACUGUGAAUUAUAGAAUUAUAGCUUAUAUAACUCUCAGUUCUGAUACUACUUCAAACCUUGUAUGGAGCAACAUCUCUAACCCUAUGAAAUACUGGAUCUUUGAUACUAGCCUUUAAAGCGGACUCGGCUUCCUGUCAAACAGUCAAUAUAUAGAGGAAUAAUUGUCGAUUGAGCGAAUUGAGUACAACACUAUUCAGUUAAGUUAUAUAAAUAGUUUAUCAUGCAGUGCAUGCAAACACCCAGAAAAAGUUUGUGAAAAUGACCAUGAUACGGGAACUUACUGAUAUUACUGAUUCUCUCGUCUCAGAUGACCUCAUGAAGCAAUAACAAUGAAUCCAAGGUAGUGAGCCCUUCCAGUAUUUUCUCCGGAUAAGACCUCUGAAUGAAUCUGUGAAAGACACAUCAAAUUUUCAUAUUGCUCGUCCAAAGGGCAAAAAGAAAAGCAUCAGCAAUAGGAAACUGAACCGCCCGGACAGCAAGUAAGCACAUCAGAGUUAGGCACAUAAAAAUAGAGUAUAACAUCUAAGCCAGAAAUCUAUUUACUAUGGAACGUCUAGUUUCAGAGUAGUGAAAUAAACACAUGUAUUUCAUAUACCUAGGAACUCUACAAUGUAACUCAAUUUCUGGGAAGUUUUAGUACCUCCUGUAACUAUGAAGUUGAUGUAACAAACCCAAAAAUGACAUCUGAUAAAAUGCAUUCUGUAAAGAUAAUUUGAAAAUAACAUCUACGCCAGAAAGAGCAUCUUAAUUUGAAAUAGUUUCAUAUUAGACUUCAUCAUAUUAAAAUGACAUGAUGUCAUCAGUUAGCCAAUUAUGGCAUCAUUUGUGUAAUAAAAUCUCAUAUUGCAGCGGAUAAAAUAAUAAAAAAACUUGAAGCUUAAUAUGCAGCAGAUAUCUACAAAUGCGACUUUUAUAGGGAUUCAGAUAUACAUAAAUAGAUCAUUCAUAAAAUGGACCGAAAGAUUAUAUGGUUUGCUUUGGCAUAGCCAUUUUUCCAAAUAAAUUUUAAAAAAUAGAUGAUUGACAAUUUGGGCAUAGCAUGAUAUACAACAGAGAUCAGUAACAUGUAAAAAUAUUCUAAGCUCCCUGUUAGAAAACAAGUAGCAUGAAAUUAUAUAUCGGAACACUGAUGUCUGGAUCAGCAAGUUGGUGCAAAUCAGCAAGUAUAUGUAUAUGGGAUAGAAAGAGAAAUAUAUACAAUGACUUAUAUAAACAUACCAAUAAAUUGAAGGGCAGAAGCAGGAAGAUUCAUUAUUAAAUGAUCAACAUGCUCCCAAGGUUUAGUACUGACUGACACAGAAGCUUUUAUGCGUUUAUUUUUUCCCUUGCUUGCCUUUGAAGCUGCACAAACACCAACUUCUGCAAAAGAAAUAUUAAAAAAGCAGCACUUAGAGUAUGAAUAUAAUAUCUAAUAAGCUACAUACACAAAUACAAGUUUGCUGAAAUUAGCUUAUAAUAGAAAGUACUAAUUUGAUGACUAAAAGAGCAUUAUGUGUCCAUUUAACCUCCCUGAAAUUCUGAAAAUACCUUCUUCAGAAACAUCUGAAGGUCGUUUAAGAGUAGUCACAGUUGCAUCUUCAUUCAUACCCACAACUCUGUCAGAGUCCAAAGUAAUUGACUUACUGCACGAAACUUCUUUCACCUUGCCUGCAGAACAUAUAAAGAUCAUAUUGAUAAUUAUGUUUUAAGUACAUAACUCACUGGCGAGAGUCCUUGCAAAAAAAAACAAAAAAAGAAAAGAAAAGAAAACUACUGGGUAGAGUGGGAGGUAUACCAUUUGUCUGCCCGCUGUCUUCUUCUUUUGGUACUUCGCCCAGUUCAUUGAGUGGCCCAGGAAAAGGAGCAACAUAUUGUGUCUCGCAAGUUGGAACUGACAUCAGUUGUGCAAUGAAUUUUCUAGCAUCCAUGUUGUAUGUAUGAACGCAAUCCUCAACCUUGUUGAUUUUGGCAUUGAUCUUCAGAUAAUUAACACUGUCUGGAUUCAAAUCAUUUGCAUACACUAGGCAUCCUUUCUUUGCAGCUGGAAUAGCGAAUGGACCAAUACCAGCAAACAUGUCACAUAUGGUUUCCCCUGCUUGAAAUAGCGAUAUCAACCUUCCGUGUUCAUGGUCCAACCUUGAAUUCCAAUAGACCAAGCCAUAAUCAAGCUUGAACGUUGCUCCACACUGCUUUACUUCGGUAGUCAUGUCAGUUUUUCCAGCUAGUACUUCAAACUUUGGUACACGGAACUCGUUAGUAAUACUUCCCACUUUAUUAACAACCGUCUGGAUAGAGGGAUAAUUUUUCUGAGGAUAUCAAGGAAACAAAGUAUUAAACGAUGCAAGUGAAAGAUGUCUAUAAGCAAUACUUUUUAAAGUACGGCACAAUUUAAAUGAUUAGACACAGACACACAGCCUAUUACAAAGACCUUUUACACUUUCUCCUAUGCACUUUGUUUUCAGUUUAUGAAUUCUGUUUUUCUUAGUCCAAAACCCCUAAACUGAUAUCCCAUACAAAAGAAAGAAAAAUAACUCUUAAAUCAUAAUUUGUUUCAAAAAAUAUGUUAAGCGCUUCAAUUUGGAGUUGUGACAACCUUCUUAUGUCAAAAGGUCGGAGAUUAAUACUAAAAAACCAAUAAUCUAAGGAAAAUAAAUAUCGGCGAUUCAUGGUUCAGACCAUAUGCCCCAUUAGAAAAAGAUGGUACAUAGAAUAUAAGAUGUUGCCAUUUCCAUUGCAACGCAACAGAUAUGUGUGUGUGUGAGUGUGUGCAUUAGGUAUUCAAACUAGACGUGGGAGUCACUGAAUGCAAUUUGUGAACUGUCUAGGUCUUUCAAAGAGAUUAAUCACACACACUACAAAGAAAAAGUAUAAAUAGAUGCUUUGGUAUCACUAUUGCAAACAGUGUUUCCUAUGGAAUUCUCCUUUGCUUUUGUUAGAUCAUGGAGGGAAUUAAACCUAAAAAAAAUACCUUUCAUGUACUUGGUCACAGGAUUCCAGCACCAAGCACAUUUAAUUAAAAAUCUAAGCGCCCCCCCCCCCCCCCCNNNNNNNNNNNNNNNNNNNNNNNNNNNNNNNNNNNNNNNNNNNNNNNNNNNNNNNNNNNNNNNNNNNNNNNNNNNNNNNNNNNNNNNNNNNNNNNNNNNNNNNNNNNNNNNNNNNNNNNNNNNNNNNNNNNCCCCCCCCCCCCCCCAAAAAAAUCAUAAAUGCAACAGAUUAUGGAGGCGUGCCAUUGAAUACAGAGAUAUCUACUUAUCUACUUCCUACAAAUAGUGUCUCUAAAUAGCAGCUAAAUGUUGAAAAUUUAAAAUUAUGAAGACAGGGUUCUGGGCUUCGCAGUGGAUAAGUAAAGAAAGAACUAGUGACUACACAAAUGAACAUAACAGCAACAACCAAAUCGAGUUACUUCAGCAAAAAAGACUAGCAGAGCAGUUGUUGGAGGAAUCAUUUAGUAUUAGUCAUGUGUCUAUAUGUAUAGUAAUAUACAGAUAAAUGGAAAUAUAAGAGUAUCUUACAAAUACGGAAAGUAUUCAAGUUCAGGCAUAUUUUUGAAUAACAGUACAGGACAUGACUAGUGAAACACUGCAACUCACAUCAUAUAUGACCUUCGCAAUAAUAUCCUUGUAAGGAAGUAGUUCCUGGCAUAUGUUCAAAUGGGCAAUGUGACCUGCAUAGAUACUGCAUGUUAGUCAAGUCCAUAAGUAGAGAUGAAGGCUCCAGCCCGAUAGAGGAAAUCCCUUGACAUUGAACUACAUCAGCAGGUAUACAGCUGGUACAGCAGAAAACUGAAACAAAUUACAUUUAUAAUAGUGAUACUUAACUAUGGUUUCAAAUGAUGACUGUGCUGUAAGCCCGGGAGGAAGAAUCUGCUUCAACACGUGAUCUAUCGCGCAAUAUCAACCAUUGAGGUUAGUCAGUAACAGGUCAAAGUGGCUCACCAUCAGCUGCUGAUUUACAGAAUUAAUGUAAUAGCGCAACAGCAUACAUGACUAUUGCAAUAAUCUACAGUUAGAGGAGAGUAAAGUAUUUAGGGGGUGGAGUACCUUAUACUAAUUGAAUAAAAAGCAAGAAAUCAUACUAGGCAAAGUAUUUACAUGAUGGAAGGAAAUAAUCAUAUUCAUGGAUCAUGAAGUUGAUAUAGUCUAUUUGAUGCCUGAAUCAAAACAUUAAUAAAUGACACAUAUGUUAUAUUGCAUUUUCUGCCUGAGUCAUCUAUUGUAUAUUAACAUUGACUUAACAGGGUGCUGAAAAGAGAUCUCUCGAGGAAGCUCUUGCUUCUUGAUGAGCUAUUAGUCAUAACCAAGUACAACAAUUAGUUGCUGAAGGUGGUUAAAUCUCACAAACGUGAAGAUAAUUAACACAAUUCAACUAAGCUUAGUUUACCCAUUUUAAGUAAAAAGUUAAGAGUUAAAACAAAAAAGAAAUUGAUAACAUAGAAUAAUUUAAAGUUUUAACUUGAGCUUUAAAUUUAAGCUAGAUAUAGAAUAUGUUAUAUGCUACAAGUCCCCUGACAACUUCUAAAAAGAAAAGCUUAAACUGUAUUUGACCAAGAAAGAAAAACUGUAUAUGGCCAGCCUAUGCAUAUUGUAUAGCCUAUCCCUAGCCAUAGUAAAAAUGAAGAAAUGCUGUGGAAUGUUCCUGUCAUAACGAAUUACACUCUAUGACGUGAUUCCUACGAGAUUAUUUCAUAAAUAGAUAUUCAAAUUUACAGAAAAACACCGCUUAUUCCUAAUCAGUAUAUUCAUGUAAUCAUGUCCCCUGAAAGAAACAUAACAUACUCUAAUGCACAUAACUGACCUGCACCCCAGUAGGAAUAUCCAAGGGUCAUUGAAUAAGGAACUACUUCCACUUCAAAAAGCUUCUUCAGCUCGUCAAUUUUUUCACUUGGAAUAUCAGAUAAAUCUGUUAUGCAUAAAGAUAAAAGAUCACAUCAUUAUGACUUUCCUAUUGGCCACUCAUUAAAAAGUACACAUGACUCGUAUAAUCAUUGUUUAUUAAAGAUGGGCAGUAAGCGCCUGUCGAUGCAACUAAAACAUACAUAUGAACAGAACAAGAAAUAUGGUACCAGCAAUAGAUGAAGUAAAGCUGAGGAAAAUUAACGAACAUCAACUAGUUGAAUUCUUCACACAGUUGAAAAAAUCUUGCAUAGCACUUAAAGGUUUAUUAGGCUAUAAGAUCAAUGAAGUCCCAAAAUAUAAUAGCACAUAAAGAACAGGAAUUGACUGCAAGCUUGAAAUAACUGAUUGAUGGUUAUGUGGCUAUUACGAUGAAGACAAGAAGUUGCAUACAUUUCAAAAUCUUACAGCACCUAAAUAAGAGCCAUUGAAUCACUAGCAGUGGCCCCCAGAGUUUGUUAUCAGGAAUCAGGAUUCUCAAAAAUUAAAUGCACAUGACUAGAACAGGCCAAGUCAAAUAAAAACUCAAAAGAAUGUUCAUGCUAAAAUACCAGGAUUCUGAACCUUCUCUGAUAGUAUAAUAUAACGACAUUUCUCAUUUGCUGGAUCUUUGGUGAUGGGACUGAUUCGAGGUCUGUCAAUCAAGUACCUAGAAGUAGAAUGACAAAUGUACAAUGUCAUGUAUGUCUUAGUUUCCUUUUAAAUACAUAUAAACGCAUAAUUCAAUUGGCAGCCAAAGAUAGAAGGCUUCGCUCCAUCUGGAAAAAAAAACUUAUGUUUUGAUAUCUACAUAAUAAUUGCAUUUGUGAGAAAACUAGUAAUUGAUUUAUCACCAAAGUACAUCUAUACCAUUUUAUUAAAGCUAAACAUGCAAAAGUUUGGUCGUUGGCUUGUAUCUGGUACGGUGGAUUAUAACUGUUGGAUCACUUAAAUCAAAUUGAUUAGAACCGUUAGAUUAAAAUUUCUACAUUUAUGCGACUAAAGGUCUAAGGUUCGUAUCUCAUCAACAACAUAUUAAAAUAAAUUAUUAAUUUAAACACACAUAUGAAAAUUAUUAACUAUUGAAAAUCAUUCGUGCUUCGCACGGGUUAUAGGCUAGAAUCUAACAAAAUUCUAAUACAAUAAAACAUGUAAUAGAUCACUUCCAACCCAAUAAAAUUAUGUAAUCUAAUUUUAUAUAUUUUACCACUUGCUAGUCUUACUAAAUUCCCUAUUCUGUAUUUCUUAUACGCACUACAACUAUAGAAUAUUCAAGAGAAUCCAGGAAUGGCAAUGUUUGGCACUACAGAUGGCACAAUUUACAGAGACAAGCCCAAUAAUGACACAGUUAUGCCUAAACUAACCCAAAUCUGAACUGACUCAGAAUCAUAAUCCUUCAAGCUUGUAUACUAAUUUCUGUCAAAGAUGAGUAAAUUUUAACACGAAACAAAAUAACAUGGAUAACCAGAAACACUGCCUUAAUUCUAAAAUUGAAACCUGAAGCAGGAUGAGAAUUAAAAACAGCAUUAAGCUUGGGCAAAUUACUGCUAAUAAUAGCCCUAAGGUGACUUAACUACAAAAAAGGCACUACCCCUAGCAUUUCCAACCACAGAGGAAAGAAAUUUGUUUGGCUUACAACCCAUAAUGUGAGAGUAAUAACAAUUUCAAAACUCCACGAGCAAGUACAAUCCUAAUUAUAAGAAAACUAGUAAACAGAUGAAUAAAAAUCCUUUUGAUUAUCCUACAGCCAUAACUAGAAUAUUCAAUUCCUAAUAACAUAUUUAUCUUACAUAAUUGACGUUUGUAGCUAGUUACAAAUAGCUUUGUUCCAAUGACAUACGAUAGAUACAGAUGAAUCUGUAAAUUUCCUGGUCCACAUCAUAACCCCUUGAAGUGUGAAGAUCAACAUAUAUUUACAGCAUUUAAAAAAGGCACAACCGCACAAAUCACACAAGAUAUUAUAACUAGAACUGAUAUUGAGAAUUCCAACUUAAUUUGAUAUAACUUAGUUAACCAUAUGAUAAAUAUAUGAAACAGAACUUAGUUAAACCUUACAGAACACUGAAAAUGAAGUUCAUACCCAUGUAGCAAUCUGCCUACAGCCUUGCACAUCUCCCGAGGGAUGCGAAUUGCAAACAACUUCAACUCCACAUCAAGCUUGCUCUCAUCCAACAUUUUGCAGUCCCAAUCAGUAUCAAACUUUCACUGCUAGUGUCCUGAAGGAUAAAGAAACAACUAUUUCAAAAAAGGUACAGUUGCAUACCAUUCUAAACUCUAUAGUUUUUCUGAUAAAGUAACACCAAUAUGAGUAUGCGACACUUUGCUAGCCAGACCUAACCAACAUAAAAUAAAGCUCAAUAUGAUAAGUGCAAUUCAUGUCAAUGAAUAGCAAAAGGCUUAAAGUGAGAUAAUUGUAGUGAUUCGUUAUCUGGUUGGAUGGAUCGGAAUCCGAGGUAACCUACAUUUCUGGACUUGCAUGAGCGAUACUAGUUUCUCCAUUCCAUUCAACAAACUUAAACUAGUUCUCAUUCUAUCUCUUUAAUUUAUCUAUCAAUGUUCAUCCCAUCUGUCAGCUCGUAUAUUUCACAUAAAUUAUUCCCUAUCAUAUUACCUAUCAUAUUUUUAACUCUAGCAUACUUCCAUUUCACUUCUAACAUUCCCAUCGUCUUCGCACUAAACACAUUCAUAAAUUUAAACAAUCCUCAAACAACUAAAACUUUCAAUGGUAUCGAAAUUUGCAAAACCACAAAUUCAGCUUCAUCAAUUCUACUAAAGCCAAAACAAUGUGUGAAUUUCAAGCAAAACCCAGUACUUAUAUGCAUUAACCAUAUCAAUAAACUAAAGUACAUACAAAAAAGAUAGAAUCUUUGUAUAGCCGAAUCAUAAUUCUUUCAACUUCAGAACAGCACAAUGAAUUAUCAAAAACUCUUUUCAAUAAAAUAAAAAAAAGGAAAAAAAAAGGAGCAAGAACUCACUUUAGGAGAACCCCUUUACACAAAUUUUACAAGAAGCUUUAAGACUUCAAUUUGGGUAAUUUUAUUGAUAUUGAAUUAGGGUUUAAGUGUUGUGAACUCAAUCAGGGUUUACGGGUUAAUUCUUUACGUUAGGGCUAUGAGUAAAGCCCAAUUAGAUGGCUAAAUGGGCCGCUUAUUUCAGUACUCACUCCGUCCCCCCAUUUCUUAUCAAAUAGGUUGGGCACGGAGGGGCACGGAGGUUAAGGAAUAUGUAUAAAGUAGUGGAAAAGAGGAAGAAAAGUGGGUAAAGUGAUGGGACCCAUUGAUUUUUAAUGUAUAAAAAUAAAAUAGUGGAGUAAAAGUAGUGUGAAAAGGAAAGAAAAGUGGAGAAGUGGUGGGACCUAUUGACUAUUUUUGGUAAGUUUUGAAAUGUAAAGAAUUGGGUGGGACACCCAAGAAGUAAAGUGUAAAGAAAUGGGUGGGACGGAGGGAGUAGUAUUUUCAGCUUCAAAACGUGUUUUGUAUCGUCCAAGCCUGUGCAAAAAAAAAAAAAAAAAGGCUUGUACACAAAAUAUUGGAAUAAAAUAAGAUAAAAUAUAAUAUAAUCAUUUUAAUUUUCUUUUUUGCUUUAAGAUAGUCUGAAACAUCGGACUACAUGCAUAUUGGGUUAAUUAUCUGGUUGGUCACUCAAAUGGGCUUAAUGUAUCAAAUUGGUCACUGAACUCAAAACGGUAUCAAGAUGGUCACUGAAAUGGCCAUAAAUAUCAAACAUGUAUCUUAAAAUAUAAGUUCAGGCACUAAAAAUAUUAUUUAUAAAGUUUUACACAUUAUUUUUGAAUGUUACCAAAACCAAGCAAAAGGUUAUGACUUCUAAUAUUUAUGAUAAUAUAUUUAGAUUUUAUCAAGUUUAUUUAUUAUUUAUUUUUAAUUAAAACAAAGAAAAUAACUAUCUAAUAAAAUAUAAAUAAUAAAUAAAUUUGAUAAAAUAUAAAUAUAUUAUUUUAAAUACUAUAAGUCAUAACCUUUUAGUUGGUUGUGGUAACAUCUUAGAAUAAUGUGUAAAACUUAAUAAAUAAUAUUUUUAAUACUUGAACUCAUAUUUCAAGGUACUUGUUUGAUAUUUAUGGUGAUUUUAGUGACCAUCUUGACACCGUUUUGAGUUCAGUGACCAAUUUGAUACAUUAAACCCACUUCAGUGCCCAACUUGAUAAUUAACUCCAUGCAUAUUAUAUUUAAAAAAGUAGAAUAAUUAUUUUUGUAAAUCGCAAGACAUUGUGUUUUUCCAUAUAAUUUAUAGCAAUUCCUACCAUGAAAAAUCUCGGCUAAAAAGUAAGUUGACAUACCAAAAACUCCAACCAUACAAGGGGUGUAAAUUAGCCGAGCCGAACUCUAAAGUGCUCGUGUAUCGUUUGUUAAAAAAUUAGUGAGCUCGAGCUCGAGCUUGGAUCGAGCCAAAAAUAUUGUUUGAGGAUCGAUUCAUUAAGAAAUAACUCUGUUCACGAACAUGUAUCACGAGCUUUUGCUCACGAACCGCUCAUUAACUUGCGCUCACGAACAUAUGUCACAAAUUUUUGCUCGUCAACCGCUCAUUAAUUUUGUUCACGAGCUUGUUUGAUAAACUUUGCUAACGAGCUAGCUUAUGCUCAUAAAUUUAUUUACGAGCUUGUUUGUUAUUUAAUUUAAUUAAAAAAAAUAAAUUAAAAUUCUAACAAUUUUUUCAUGUUCACGAGCUACGCUCACGAGCCAAGUUCACGAAUCAUGUUCACGAACUCAUAAUUCGAACUUGUUCGCGAACUAUCGAGUCAAACUUUAGUGUGCUCAAGUUCAGCUCGUUUAUAAAACGAACCUUAAAAUUGUGCUCAAGAUCGACUCGCUUAUGAAUUGAACCGAGCUCGAACCGAACUCUUUUCGAACCGAAUAUUGAGCGGUUAUCGAGCGUAUCAACUCAUUUACAGCCAUGUCCAUACUCUCCUUUUAUCCACAAUUAUAGUCAAACUCCAAUGAAUAAAUACAAGCAUGUAAAAAAUUCUGCAGGGAGAUUACAUAUAUCACUUGUUACCAUAUUAAAGUGAUAUUAUUUAUUAUAACAAUUUAAAAUAUUAAUAACAUACUAUUUUUGAAUUAUAGCAUGUAAAAUAUAGCCAACAUCAUCGAAGCACAAUGUCUUGCAUCUUCAACAAAUUCUAUAAGAUGUCCUACAGAUCUAAUUUAACUGAUCAUUAUAGGCUAUAGCAAAGCUCAUCGAAGAUGCCGAAAACAUAAUGAUUGUUGAAGUUAAAUAUUCUUUGGUCGGAAAUAAGUUUAAAUUUGUUAGAAAAUGGAAAGUUUAAAGCAUAUUUUUUAAUAUGUUCUUGAUGUAAUUUCCGGGACAUUUUCUUAGUGAAAUCCAUUGAGAAAUAGAGUUGAAUACAGUGGCUUGAAAGAGCUUGAAAUGAGAAUGUGAUUCAUUUAAUCUGGACAAAUGAAUCUGGUCAGUAUAUCUGACAGAUACAGAUUCAUUGAAUCUGGACAAAUGAAUCUGGUCAGUAUAUCUGACAGAUACAGAUUCAUUGAACCUGGACAAAUGAAUCUGGUCAGUAUAUCUGACAGAUACAGAUUCAUUGAACCUGGACAAAUGAAUCUGGUCAGAAUGUCUGACAGAUACAGAUUCAUUGAACCUGGACAAAUGAAUCUGGUCAGAAUGUCUGACAGAUACAGAUUCAUUGAACCUGGACAAAUGAAUCUGGUCAGAAUGUCUGACAGAUACAGAUUCAUUGAACCUGGACAAAUGAAUCUGGUCAGAAUGUCUGACAGAUACAGAUUCAUUGAACCUGGACAAAUGAAUCUGGUCAGAAUGUCUGACAGAUACAGAUUCAUUGAACCUGGACAAAUGAAUCUGGUCAGAAUGUCUGACAGAUACAGAUUCAUUGAACCUGGACAGAUGAAUCUGGACGGUGUGUUGGUGCCUUGGCCUCACUAUAAAUAGUGAGCCUCGACACUUGAGUUGUAGCACGGGAAAAACACAAACACCAUUCUCAUUCUUCUCUCUUACACUCUCACCAUCUACUCCGAUAUAUACACAUAUACAUACUGUUCUCGGGCGAACUGAGGUGUUGAUCGCUGUUGAUCGUACUCGUGUCUGUGAGCGGUUCGGUCUGUGCUGUUUUAUCCUGGGAGCGAUAUUGCGACUACCCAUCACAGCGUAGUGGGGCAAUAAUCACUUCAAGAACAGUCUAGUCUUCAUCGAAGGGCUAGGCGACUCAGCUGUUCUGUAUACUAAUUCUAGCGACGGUGUAAGGUGCGCCUUUCUCUUCUUUUCUUGUAAUUUAUCAGUCACUGAUUAUUGUAUAUACGAUCUUCGUGCAUGCUAUAUUGUUGUGGUUUCGUUGGCCUACACUUGUUUAUAUAAUAUAACUGCUCUAUACAUUGUUGCUGUGAUUUUCACUGUGACUCCCAACAAUCUUGAAGUGAUUAUCUGUUAUAUUGUGUAGUAAGCAAGAUGGUUAAUGAGAUUGCGGAUUCUGUUGUUGGUGGUGGUGCUGGUUCUGGGUCUGGUGUUACUAGUAACAUCGAUUGGACUACGUAUCGUUUUCCACAGCCCAUUGAUUUAUCAGGUAUUCCUGAUAAAUUCGGUGGGGGAGUUUCUUUUUCUCGUUGGCAGAAAAAGAUGAAACUGUGGCUUACGGUUAAGGGUCUAUGGCCGGUGUUGCAGUAUGAGAAACCAGUUGUGGUACAGGAAAAGGCUGAAACCCUUAAGGCCUAUGCUAUGUGGGAGGAAAAGGAUGGGGUGGCUAGGGCUGCUAUUCUAGCAGCCUUAACGAACACUCUGUUCGAUGUUUACUCAUCUGACUCCUACACUGCUAAGACCUUGUGGGAGAAACUUGAUCAGACACACAAUACUGACUCGCAAGGGUUGGAAAAGUAUUCUGUGGCUAAGUUCCUGGACUUCAAACUGGUGGAUACAAAAUCCAUGACUGAGCAGGUGCAUGAGUUUGAGACGUUGGUGCAUGCUUUGAAGGAGUCCGGAAUGGACCUUCCUGAAAAGUUUUUGGUUAUGUCUGUGAUUGAAAAACUCCCUAAGUCUUGGGAAGAGUUUGCACUCUCCCUGAAAAGGCAGAAGGGAGAGAUCACUUGGACUAACCUGAUGCUGGACAUCUCUGUGCAGGAGCAGCACAAGUCCAAACAGGGACAUGUGAUGCCAACUGAAUCUGGUAGCUCGAAGGUCAAUGUAGUGACUGUGGGACAGAAAAGAAAGUCUGUCGCUAAGAAGGUGAACACUAAGCCCAAAACUGACAAGGGCAAGGCUAAGAAAUCAAAGGCCAACAAACCAUGUUGGUCUUGUGGACAGGUUGGUCAUUGGAGUAAGGACUGUCCUGUAAAGAAAGCAAAGAAAGCUGAGGUGGUAGCACAAGCAAAUACUGUGCUUGGAACCACUGAUGGGCCUGUGCUUAACAUGGUUGUUGGUGAGGCUGUUGCUUCUGAAACCAAUGACGGGUAUGUUAAGUACAACCCUGAACUAUUUUCCACUUAUCUGUCUAAUGAGUGGUUGAUUGAUACGGGAGCUAAUGUGCACAUUUGUGCUGAUAUUACUCUGUUUGUAUCUUAUCAACAGGCUCAUGGGAUGACAGUGACGAUGGGGAAUGCUAGUGCGGCUCAAGUUCGUGGAAUAGGAAACGUGGACCUGAAGUUUGCUUCAGGGCGUGUUCUAUCCCUUACUAGAGUGCAUCAUGUUCCCGAGAUUCGUAGAAAUAUUAUUAGUGGAAGUUGUUUAGUUAAAAAUGGCUUUGAACUUUCUUUAAAGUGUAAUAAAGUAGUUAUUACUCAGACUGGUGUGUUUUUUGGCAAGGGCUACUUGUCAGACGGCUUGUUUUUAAUAAAUGUGGAGCCUGUUUUAGGCGGUUUUAUUAAUGAUAUUGCUUCUCCUUCUGUUAAUAAUAUUGAAUCAUCCGAUUUGUGGCACUCUAGGCUUGGUCAUUUUAAAUUUUGGUGCUCUAAAGAAUAUGAUGAACUUAGAGUUGAUUCCAAAGCAUGCCAUUGAUAAGAAAACUAAAUGUCAAGUAUGUGUGACAGCUAAACUAACAAGAAAACCUUUUCAUAGUGUGGUUAGGGAUUCUGACUUGUUAGAUUUAGUGCACUCGGACAUAUGUGAAUUUGGUGGUGUGUUGACUAAGGAACACUGUAGAUAUUUCAUUACCUUUAUAGAUGAUUGUAGUAGAUAUUGUUAUGUUUAUUUUCUUAAACAUAAAGAUGAAGCACUUGAAAAAUUCAUUAGAUUUAAAACUGAAGUUGAAACACAAACUGGUAAAGUACUUAAACGUUUGAGAUCUGAUAGAGGUGGUGAAUAUACGGGAAACACCUUUAAUGAAUUUUGCAAGAGCAAUGGUAUAAUUCAUGAGGUGACUCCACCAUAUACACCUGAGUCUAAUGGGGUGGCAGAACGAAAGAACAGAACUUUUAAAGAUAUGAUUAUAUACAUACUGUUCUCGGGCGAACUGAGGUGUUGAUCGCUGUUGAUCGUACUCGUGUCUGUGAGCGGUUCGGUCUGUGCUGUUUUAUCCUGGGAGCGAUAUUGCGACUACCCAUCACAGCGUAGUGGGGCAAUAAUCACUUCAAGAACAGUCUAGUCUUCAUCGAAGGGCUAGGCGACUCAGCUGUUCUGUAUACUAAUUCUAGCGACGGUGUAAGGUGCGCCUUUCUCUUCUUUUCUUGUAAUUUAUCAGUCACUGAUUAUUGUAUAUACGAUCUUCGUGCAUGCUAUAUUGUUGUGGUUUCGUUGGCCUACACUUGUUUAUAUAAUAUAACUGCUCUAUACAUUGUUGCUGUGAUUUUCACUGUGACUCCCAACAAAAUUUUCCUCUUUUUUUUGCACAUAAACAUGCGUCCUGGAGAAGUGUCACUGUAUUGACCACGGCAAGACGGCAACUGAGUCAUCAGUCCAGAAAUAUAAGAUGAGUAUUAAAAUUGAAUUUGGCAGCUACCAAAUAAAUUCUCCUGUUAGUGUAUAUACUGAGUUUGAAGAAUAUAAGACGCUACUCUUUCUUUUCCCUUUUUCUUUUGGAAAGUAUGACACUACUUUCUUAGUAAUAGCUUUGUUAGUUGUUACGACAUAGGAUGGUCUGGGAAGGUAGUUUCUUAUUAAUAUUAAUAAGAAACUGACUACAUUCUUAUAUUCAUAAAUUCUUCUCCCAUAAUCUCCAAGAAAUGAUUAGGAAAUGUUUCAUAGUCCCUUCAUCCUUACUUUUAAAUUCAAAAUAUAUAUUAAUAUUAGUAUUUGAUGUAUCAGAUAAUGUUUAUUCAGAAUCGAGGGGUUGAAAGUUGUGGGAGCCUUUCUACUAUCAAAACCUUUUUAAUCCUAGAUGUAAAAAUUUACUAUAAUCAGUGACGGAUGGAGGAUUUGAUGAAAGGAGGGGCAUAAGGCAAAUAGGAAAAAUUGUCUAAAAAAUAACUUAAUACAUAAUAAAUUGAACAAGUCUCUAACACAGAACAUAUAUAUGUGCUAUUUAGAAGACCAUAGAACUAUACUAGAAGAUGUGUUUUGAAAUAAGUUCAAUAAGUUUCUAACACUAAGUAUUUUGAAAUAAGUUUCUUAUCAGUAGACGAGGCGAUUGAGUUUUAUAAGAAGACAUGUCUUGAAAUAAUACUAUAAAUCUCCAACACUUGACUUGCCUCACUAUCCCUAGGCAUUGAUAUUAUAUAUGUCAGGUUAUUGAUAUAUCAUAAUUCAUAAGUUAUUCAAAUCUUUUUAAAUCUGUGUAUUACACAAAAUUUCUAAAAUUUUACAUACCGGCUAUUAGCUAGAAACAUCAAUAAAUAUAUACGAUAACCACUAAAAUAUAAAAUUUAAUGCAUAUGUGAGUUUUUGGAUAAGAGUGACUGUAAUUUCCUGUAAGCCACUUGCAUAGUUGCAUGAACCACCCUCUAGAAGACGGGCUACAAGACAAGAGCUAUAUAGCUCGUGCUAUAAACUCUUCAGCACAAGUCGUUGUUAAAGUCAAUACUAGUCCCAAGUAACCCCAAAGUCUAAGUUACAGCUACCAAUUUUCUGGUUUCUAGUUAUGUAGUCCAGCAGUAUAGUAAAGGCAACUACUAGUUUCUGGUUGGAUAGUUUCUGGUUGAAUUAGUAUAUGAUUAUACAAUUCAACGGCUUAGAUUAUGUCUGGUAUAUUAUAUUGUAAGGUGUAGAUGGUUUGCUGGCACCUAUAAAUAUCCUUUGUAUCUGAGUUUAUUAAUAUAACAAGUAACAGUUUGUUUCUUAAGUCUAGAGAGAAAAGAUCAGUUCAUACUUGUUAGUGUAACUAGUGUGUUCUUUUUCUAAAGAGAGAAGAGUGAAUACAGAGAGUGUUUUUCAACAAUUGGUAUCAGAGCAAAGGUUGUAUUAUCAAUAAUCAGAAGACAAGAUGGGUGAUCUUCAAGUGGUGGGAGGAAUCAAGAAGCUUAACAAUCAGAACUACAAUACAUGGUCCACCUGUAUUGAAUCUUACUUGCAAGGUCAGGACCUGUGGGAGGUUGUUGGAGGGACUGAAGUAUCUCAGCCAAUAACUGAGGAUGCUGUCCGCAAGUGGAAGAUUAAAGCAGGCAAAGCAAUGUUUGCUUUGAAGACCACCAUUGAGGAAGAAAUGUUAGAUCAUAUUCGGGAUGUAAAAACACCGAAGGAAGCCUGGGACACUUUCACAACACUCUUUUCAAAGAAGAAUGAUACUAAGUUACAAAUUCUGGAAAAUGAAUUGCUCUCAAUGGCGCAAAGGGAAAUGACGAUUGCUCAAUACUUCCACAAGGUGAAGUCCAUAUGCCGUGAAAUUUCAGAUUUGGAUUCAACGGCUGCUAUUGGAGAAGCCAGGAUAAAGAGAAUAAUUAUCCAUGGCUUAAAACCUGAAUACAGGAGUUUUGUGAGUGCUGUGCAAGGUUGGCCGACACAGCCAUCUCUUGUUGAGUACGAAAAUUUGCUAGCAGGCCAAGAGGCCAUGACAAAGCAAAUGGAGGGAGUCUCGCUGAAAGGUGAAGAAGAAGCACUCUACACCAAGCACAGCAGCAGAGGCGGUACAAAACAGCAGAGCAGGGGCGGAUUCAAGAAAUUUGGUGGCAUGUCAAAAAGUCAUCAGGGAGAGAGAGGUUUCCGUUCAGGUGGAACUUUCGCAAAUCGAGAUAAUACCAAGAGAUUUGAUGGAAAGUGUUAUAAUUGUGGAAAGAAGGGCCAUAUGGAGAAAGAUUGUUGGUCAAAGAAGAAGUCUUUAGAGAGUAAUAUUGCUACAUCCAGCACUAAUGAAGAAGAUAGUUGGGAUGCAGAAGCAUUAUUAGCUAAUGCUGAAGAUUUAUCAGCUUUCCAAAUGACAACAAAAGAGAAGAUCGAUUAUAAGAAUGAUUGGAUUGUUGACUCCGGAUGUUCAAAUCACAUGACGGGUGAUAAACAUAAGAUGCAAAACUUGUCUGAGUAUAUGGGAAAUCGGGUGGUGGUAACGGCCGACAACUCGAAAUUACCAAUAGCUCAUAUUGGAAAAGCUGCUGUUAUGCCUCGGUAUAAUCAGAAUGAAGUGUCACUUCAGAAUGUUUAUCAUGUUCCAGGAAUGAAGAAGAAUCUAUUAUCCGUGGCUCAAAUAACUUCAUCUGGUCACUAUGUUGUCUUUGGUCCAAACGAUGUGAAGGUAUUUCAAGACCUUAAUAUAUCUGAAAAGCCAACGAUGCAGGGGCAGAAGUUGGAAUCAGUUUAUGUAAUGUCUGCAGAAUCUGCAUAUGUAGACAAAACACGAAGAAAUGACACAGCAGAGUUGUGGCAUAUGCGGUUGGGUCACGUUAGCUAUUCCAAGCUAAAUUUGAUGAUGAAGAAAGCGAUGCUUAAAGGACUUCCUCAAAUUGAAGUACGGACAGAUACCGUAUGUGCCGGAUGUCAGUACGGUAAAGCACAUCAAUUGCCAUAUGAAGACUCAAAGUUUAAAGCAAAGGAGCCACUGGAGUUGGUGCACUCUGAUGUAUUUGGGCCUGUUAAACAGCCAUCGAUCGGCGGAAUGCGAUAUAUGGUUACAUUUAUUGAUGAUUUUUCAAGAUAUGUAUGGGUCUUUCUUAUGAAGGAAAAAUCUGAAACAUUUCUGAAAUUCAAGGAGUUUAAAGACUUAAUCGAAGGGGAGUCAACUCACAAAAUCAAGUGCUUACGUACAGACAAUGGAGGAGAGUAUAGCUCGAAGGAAUUUAGUCAAUAUCUACGAGCUAAUAAAAUCCGUCAUCAAUUUACAUGUGCAAACACACCCCAGCAAAACGGUGUUGCAGAGAGGAAAAAUCGACAUCUUGCUGAAAUAUGUCGGAGUAUGUUACAUGCUAAUAACGUGCCUGGAAAAUAUUGGGCUGAAGCUAUAACUACGGCAUCUCAUGUCAUUAACAAGCUUCCUCAACCAAGGCUGGAUUUCGUCACGCCCUUUGAAAAAUUAUGGGGAAAGAAACCUGCUGUAAGUUAUCUUCGGGUGUUUGGUUGUGUUUGUUAUGUAUUUGUUCCUGAUCAUUUACGUAGCAAGAUUGAUAAGAAAGCAAUCAGAUGUAUCUUUGUGGGAUAUGACAAUCAACGGAAAGGAUGGAAGUGUUGUGAUCCAACAACCGGAAGAUGUUACACAUCACGUAAUGUGGUUUUUGAUGAAGCAUCUUCGUGGUGGACUUCAGAGAAAGAAACAACGCCUAACUCUGAAGAAUUUGAGAAAAAGUUGGAACAAAAGAUGAGUGAGCAUAUUGUUCAAAUUUUGCCAAGUUCAGAUGGAGAUAUACGUAAUGAUGAUGAGCCAAACGUCACACAAAAUCCUUGGCAAUCUGGUAUGUAUCAACAACCAGAUGAAAGCUAUAAUUCUGGUGAAGAAUCAGCUCCAUUACGAAGGUCAACAAGAACUCGGAGGGCAAAUGUUAGAUAUGCUAAUGCAGCAAUAAUCGAAGAAAUAGAACCUGAGACGUUCGAAGAAGCAUCACAAAAAUCAGAAUGGAUAACAGCUAUGAAAGAUGAGAUCAAUUCCCUUCAAGAAAAUCAAACUUGGGAAUUAGUGUCAAAGCCACACGAUGUGAAACCUAUAUCCUGCAAAUGGGUUUACAAAAUAAAGCGCCGUCCAGAUGGGUCAGUUGAGAGACAUAAGGCUCGACUAGUAGCUCGCGGCUUCUCUCAGCAGUACGGACUAGACUACGAUGAAACGUUUAGUCCGGUGGCAAAACUCACAACUGUAAGAGUCUUGCUUGCAUUGGCGGCUAACAAAAAUUGGAAGUUGUGGCAAAUAAAUGUGAAGAAUGCGUUUUUAUAGGGUUGUCAAACGGAUAAUUCGGAUACGGAUAUGCCUAUAUCCGUAUCCGUAUCCGCAAUGGCCGGAUUCAGAUACGGAUAAUAUCCGCUUUAAUUCGGAUACGGAUAAUAUCCGCUUAUUCUCGGAUACGAAUGCGGAUAUUUCAGACGGAUGUCGGAUAUUUUUUAUGACUCUACCGUAUUAACGAUGAUUUUCGAACAAUUUUUUUAUGACUAAGCUCAAAUAAUAUUUUUAUAUAUGUAUAAAGUGUUUGAGUAUUUGUACAAUUAUAUAAAAUUUAUGUAAAUGUAUUAUUUAAUGCAUAAACACACACUACAAGCUAAAUAAAAUAAAAUUUUAAUUACAUAUACUUAUAUAUUAUAUAAUUUAAAUAUCAUAUAUGUAUUUAAUUUCGGAUUCGAAUAUCACGGAUUCGGAUACGGAUAAUAUCCGUUUUAUUUCGGAUACGAAUAAUAUCCGCUUUUUCUCGGAUACGGUUGCGGAUUUUUCGGACGGAUAUCGGAUCUUUCGAAUAUUUUUGACAGCCCUAGUUUUUUACAUGGAGAGUUGGACCGAGUGAUUUACAUGAAUCAACCAAGUGGUUUCGAAAGUGUAACUCAUCCUAAUUUUGUUUGCAAACUCAGAAAAGCGCUUUACGGAUUAAAGCAGGCACCACGUGCGUGGUAUGGGAAGAUAGCUGAGUUUUUAAGCCUAUGUGGUUAUGUGAUGGCACAAUCAGAUUCUAGUUUAUUUGUUAAAAUAAGAGAAGGGAAGUUGGCAGUGGUGUUGGUAUACGUAGAUGAUUUAAUCAUUACAGGAGAUGACAUCGAAGAAAUUUUUCAGACAAAGAAAAAUUUAUCAGUCCGUUUUCAGAUGAAGGAACUAGGAGAACUCAAGCACUUCUUGGGAUUAGAGGUUGAUCAUACUGAAAAUGGGCUGUUUCUUUGUCAACAAAAGUAUGCUACAGACUUACUAAAAAGGUUUGGUAUGCUUGAAUGUAAGCCAGUAUCAACACCCAUGGAGCCAAAUGCGAAAUUGUGUGCUCAUGAAGGAAAAGAUUUGCAGGAUUCAUCAAUGUAUCGACAAAUAGUAGGUAGUCUGAUCUACUUGACUAUAACCCGACCUGAUAUAUCAUAUUCAGUUGGUGUGAUAAGUCGAUACAUGCAAAAUCCAAAGAAGUCUCACUUAGAAGCUGUUCGAAGAGUACUCAGAUAUAUAAAAGGUACUGUAAGUUAUGGUCUGAUGUACAAAAAGGGUGAAGAUUGCAGUGUACUUGGAUAUUGUGAUGCUGACUACGCUGGAGAUCAUGAUACUCGUAGGUCAACUACAGGGUAUAUGUUUAUGCUUGGAUCCGGGGCAGUUUCUUGGUGUAGUAAGAGACAACCAACAGUGUCUCUGUCAACAACAGAAGCCGAAUAUCGGGCAGCUGCAAUGGCAGCUCAAGAGAGCACAUGGCUGAUCCAACUAAUGCAGGAUUUGCAUCAGCCAGUAGACGCGGAAAUUCCACUCCUUUGUGAUAAUCAAUCAGCAAUUCGUUUGGCUGAAAAUCCGGUGUUUCAUGCCAGGACAAAACAUGUUGAAGUACAUUAUCAUUUUCUUCGGGAAAAAGUCUUGCAAGGGGAGAUUGCAAUGAGACAUGUUGCGACACAUGAACAAGUUGCAGAUAUGUUUACCAAAAGCUUAAGUCCAGGAAAGUAUGAGAAGUUUCGCUGCCAACUGGGAGUUGUUCAGAGAAUGGGGACUAACAUUGAGGGAGAGUGUUAAAGUCAAUACUAGUCCCAAGUAACCCCAAAGUCUAAGUUACAGCUACCAAUUUUCUGGUUUCUAGUUAUGUAGUCCAGCAGUAUAGUAAAGGCAACUACUAGUUUCUGGUUGGAUAGUUUCUGGUUGAAUUAGUAUAUGAUUAUACAAUUCAACGGCUUAGAUUAUGUCUGGUAUAUUAUAUUGUAAGGUGUAGAUGGUUUGCUGGCACCUAUAAAUAUCCUUUGUAUCUGAGUUUAUUAAUAUAACAAGUAACAGUUUGUUUCUUAAGUCUAGAGAGAAAAGAUCAGUUCAUACUUGUUAGUGUAACUAGUGUGUUCUUUUUCUAAAGAGAGAAGAGUGAAUACAGAGAGUGUUUUUCAACAGUCGUUAGUCUAAACUAAGACACAACAGAACUGAGUAAACAUCAAUCUAUUUGAUUUAUUUAUGAAUUAACAAGUCUAAAUAAAUGAAAGUCACAAUCAUUUGAUAAUAAAAAUGCCGAAUGCGUUUCUAUUUGUUGUAUGACUCAUGGGAGAUUGAAUUAAAAAAAGGUUCAAUAAUGCAAGUCAUCAUCAUGCAUGAAAAGUCCUAAAAGGGUUACUAUGAUCAUGUUACUUGGAAUUAUUGAAACGAAAAGAAGGUUCUGUUAAAAGCUGGUUUGUGUUAUUUUGGGAGUUAAAUCAUUUAAGUGGGUUUUUGGUUCCCUUAGAGUUUUAAAUUAGAAGUAUUUAUUCGUAUCGUUUAUAUAAAAAGUUGAGAAGCAUUUAAAAAAACUAGGAUUCUAUUUCUGUAAUUUGACACUAACAAAUAAGCUGAAUGUUCUGUUGCUGCGAGUGGUCUCGAGUCCUGCUGCUUUUCAAUUUUUAAUAUCUUCGAUUUAUCAAAAAAAGUAUUUUAUAAUAUGUUUAAAACAGGGAAAGAAUCUCGCAUAAUAAUUAAAAUUGUUUGCAGUGGCGGACCCAGAAUUUUUUCUCAGUGGGUUCCUUGUUUUAUUUUAUUAAUAUAAAUAAUAAAUAUUUAAUUAAAUAUUAAUAUUUAAAUUUUUGAUAUUAAUAUUAAAUGUUAAUUUAAAGAACAACGGAAACUAAAAGGAAUAUAUUUAUACAAAUAUCUUAAUAAAUACGAGAUGUUAAAUAAUUUCGAACAACAAUCGCCUAAUAAUUAAUAAGAUUUCUGAAUUAUUAAAGUAAAUUAUGAAUUUGGUAAAAUAUUUUAGUGGGUUCCCGCUAAUUUUAAAUUAAUUUUUAACCGAAAUUUACCUUAUAAUUACAUUUCGGCGGGAAGUUGAGUGGGUGCCCGGGAACCCAUAGCCAAAGCUAUGGGUCCGCCCCUGAUUGUUUGAUGUUAUAGAUAAAAACAUGUUAGAUACUAAAUAUUCCUUUCAUUUCAAAAUAAUAAUCAUUUUGAUUUUUUACGGUAAUUUUAGUUCUACGCUUGAAUUAUCAAAUACAUUACCAUUUUCGUUUAAAAAUAUCAAGUAUGUUAUCGACAAUUUUCUAAUUUCGUUUGUAUCACUGAUUUAAAAUAAAUUUGUAUUUUAUUAAUUUUAAAAUUCUAUAAUGAAAGUUGAUUGUUGAAAUUUUUUAGAAUAAGCAAUAGCCCAUCUUUCUAACUACAUCAGUUUUUUUUUAUUGAAUUCGACAUCUAUUUUCCCAAAGUUUCUAUGAUUUUAUUUUUGUUUUUUUAUUUUAUCAUCACGUUAUUUUGUGCACAAGUUUGUCAAUCAAAUUCAUGUCAUAAAAUUUUAACAAAAAAAAUUAAUUUAACUUAAUUUUGUGAAAUUUGCAUGCAUAUAAUUUAAUUUGAAACGAGUAAUUCAAAUAAUUUUAAAAAUUUAUUGAUAAUCCACUUGAUGUAUUAACAUAAAAUAAGUGAACUAAUUAAUUAUUAACCGAUAAAAAACAUAAUUUUAUAUAUUUAAUUUUCAAACUUUUUUUUCCUAAAUAAAUAUUUACACCUAUAUUUUUAUCACAUACCUCAACUUACCUGAUCGAUUUCUAUGAAAAUGAUGUAAUACUAAAAUCGGAGUAUUUUGUGAUGAAUACUCUAUCGUUAAAUCUUGAGAUGCUCACAAAAUCUAGCUAAAAUAAAGCCCAAUAACAUUUUCAAGAACAAAUGUUUCAAAAUUUUCAUAGAAGUCAGAUUGUAUCAAACAGAUUGUAAUUAACAUCAUCCUCUCCAGGAGUUUGGCAGUUCGAUUCGCAGUGACGUUUAUUAUUCUGUACACGCUUUUCACUUGUUUUCUACUCGUCUCUGUUUAGCUCCGCCUCCGGACCAAAUCAAAUCAAACAUACCCGAUAUGUGAAUCGAAAAUAAUCUUGUUGUCAAACAUUUUGCUAUAUGUUUUCGUGAAAAGCCCCGACUUAAAUAUUCACGUUAUCUUCGACGCAAAAUUAGAAAAAUUCCAAACUCGUAUAAAUCCCCGAUCAUCAGAUUAAUCCCGAUCAUUCCAACAUAAGAGCAUGGUGACACACCGUCGGAGAAUAUAAAUCUUGGUUUUCCGCUGCUUGACUAUCGUGAAGCACCUUUUGGAGAUUUUAGCUGCCCUGCAGUUGCUUUGACGAGAACUAAGAGAAUUGAUGAGAUAAGAAAACGGCAUGGCUGUUGAGACAAUACAACGAGUGGUUGAUGAGAGAAACGAGAAUGAAGAAGAAGAAGAAAAGUAUGAAACACUGGAUGGUUUUUGUUGUGUGCUUUUUAUUUAUAGAAUUGGAGGAAGCUCAGUUCACGCUGUGGUCCACAUGGAUGACUUCUAUGCAAUUUCAGUUGAUUGUGCCC
RNAcentral lists this long non-coding RNA (85692 nucleotides) under Daucus carota (carrot). RNAcentral describes it as "long non-coding RNA (DCAR_LNC005402)". Lineage: Eukaryota; Viridiplantae; Streptophyta; Magnoliopsida; Apiales; Apiaceae. The record is from RNAcentral.